GGUACUUUCUAUUGUGUAUAACAACAAGCAGUUAAUAUGGAUUUCCUGAAUUGGUUAAUGUACUUUUUUUUCUCCUUGAUAUUGUUUCAAGCUUUCCAUUUGAUCACAAGAAGGAAAUUGGGAAGAUCCCAUAAGCUUCCGCCCGGUCCACCAACAAUUCCGAUCUUCGAGAACCUUUUCCAGGUUGGUGAUAAACCCCAUAGGUCCCUUGCCAAACUUGCCAAGAUUCAUGGGGACAUCAUGACUCUGAAACUUGGCCAGACUACUACCGUAGUUUUUUCAUCUGCAACAAUGGCCAAAGAAAUCUUCCAAAAGCAUGAUGCCGUAUCUUGUAACCGAACCAUUCCCGAUGCCCUUCGUGCCCUUCAACAUCACGAAGCCGGAUUGCCUUGGAUGCCUGUUUCAACCACAUGGAGAAAUCUUAGGAAAAUCUGCAAUUUGCAUAUUUUCGCUACUCAUAAACUUGACGCUAAUCAAUACUUGAGGCGCAGCAAAGUAGAACAACUCCUUGCUGGUGUUCGCGAAAGUUCCCUCAUCGGAGAAGCGAUUGAGAUACGUUAAGCUGCUUUCAAAACUACGCUUAGUCUCAUAUCAAAUACUAUUUUCUCCAUUGAUUUAGCCGACUCUACUCAUACUUCUGAGGAGUUGUUAAGUUUAGUUCCCAUGCAAAGGUGGCCAUGCACGACAUACAAAGGUGGUCAUGCUCCUGGAAUCGCAGCAAGCAGUGGUGCCAUGGUGUGCAGCAAUUAAAGUUUGAAGCUGCCAAUCUAUUUGCUAUUUUAGUUUCAUUUUGAUUGUUUUGUAAUCUAGUUCAUGUUGAACUAAGUAGGUAAAUGUUUUGAUAUUGAUUGACUGAAAAGUCAGCAAUGCAAGUUGUACAAGCUAAUCUUGUAAGUUUCAAUGCAAAUUAGUGGAGUUAGGUAGUUGAUUAGGUGAUUACUUGUUUGUUUUACUUAUUGACUAAUAUAUGUAAUGGCUUAAUGCCUUGUUGUAAUGUUAAUGAAAGAUAUCAGCUCUUUUUCAUUCAAUCUUCUUCUCUCUUUUCUGUUUUUUCACUUGCUAGUUUCAUCUUUCUGUUUUCUGCUUCCGAGCUUGCUUCUUCACCAAGGCUCGAGACUUACUACUCAAGCAAGACUUGAAACAGUUUGUUGCUGCCUCUUGCACCAACAAUUGGUAUCGAGAGCUCUUGUCUUAGUGGACCUGUUGCUUCAAAACAAGGAACUUGAUGGCUUCUUCAGGAUUUUCACCAGCAGCCCCACCAGUCUUCAAUGGAGAAGGCUUUCACAUAUGGCUGGUCAAGAUGAAGACUUACCUACAGGCCUUCGAUCUGUGGGAAGUUGUCAACACAGAUACUGAGCCAGCACCACUGAGGGCUAAUCCCACAGUAGCUCAGAUGAGGCAACAUGCUGAUGAGAGGACCAAAAGGCACAAAGCCAUGUCCUGCAUCCAGAACUGUGUGUCAGAUGUCAUCUUCACCAGAAUCAUGGCCUGUGAGACUCCAAAACAGGCCUGGGAUAAGCUUAAGGAGGAGUUUCAAGGCACUGAGAGAACAAGGCAACAGCAGCUGUUAAACUUGAGAAGGGAUUUCGAGAAUUUGAAGAUGAAGGAAGAAGAAACAGUGAAGCAGUACUCAGAUAGAAUUAUGGCAGUGGUUAACAGUAUAAGGCUCCUAGGUGAGCACUUUGAUGAGGCAAGAAUUGUGGAGAAAGUUCUCUCCACUUUGCCUGAGAGAUAUGAGGCCAAGAUAUCCUCCCUAGAGGACUCAAGAGACCUUGCUAGCAUCUCUUUGACUGAGUUAAUCAACACCUUCUAUGCUCAGGAACAAAGGAGAGCUAGCAGAGCUGAAGAUCACCAAGAAGGUGCAUUUCAAGCCAAGGCCAGAGAAACCUCGAGCAUUAAUGCUCAAAGAGGCAAAAAGCCUUGGAAAAACAGGCCUAAGCCUGAUGUUGCAAGAAGCAAUGACCAACCCUGCAGAUAUUGCAAGAAGCCUGGCCAUCCAGAAGACAGAUGCUGGUUUAGGCCAGAUGCAGUAUGUCAACACUGCAAGAAGAAGGGCCAUGUUGAAAGGGUCUGCAAAAACAGAAGUAAGCCAAGGCAGAAUCAAUUUCAGCAGUCAAAGGUUGAAGCUCGAGUAGCUGAGGACAGUAGUGACCAAGAAGAACAGGUCUUUGCUGUUUCCUGUGUAGCUUCUGAGAAGAAAUGCUCCAAAGGCUGGUUGCUGGACAGUGGUUGCACUAACCACAUGUCACCAGAUGCCUCCUUGUUUAAAACCUUGGACAGAAGUUAUAAAACCAAGGUCAAGGUUGGAAAUGGUCAGUUUAUAAGGGCUGAAGGAAGAGGAGAAGUGCUGAUAUGUACUCCCACAGGCAACAAGAUCAUUCCAAAUGUGCUGUUGGUACCACAAAUUGACAGAAACCUUCUCAGCAUAGCUCAACUGCUCGAGAAAGGUUAUUCUAUUGUGUUCAAAGAUAAACAAUGCCACAUUACUGAUCCAAGUGGAUCAAGCCUUAUGACAGUCACAAUGACUGAUAAAUGCUUUGAGGUUCACUGGGCAAAUGACUCAAACUCAGCAUACACAGCCUCUGUUGAAGACUCCAAGCUUUGGCAUCAAAGGCUUGGACAUGCUAACUUCAGAUCAAUGGCUCGAUUGGCCAAAGAGGGCUUGGCAGAGAACUUCAUCAGCUCAGUGGAGCAUGAUGAUGUGUGUGAAGUUUGCCAAAUGGGGAAACAGGCAAGAUUGCCAUUUCCUACAAAUUCAGCUUGGAGAGCUACUGAAAGACUGCAGCUGGUGCACUCUGAUGUAUGUGGCCCGAUGAGGACUGAAUCACUCAGCAAAAACAGGUAUUUCAUCCUCUUUAUUGAUGAUCUUACAAGGUUUUGCUGGAUUUUCUUUUUAAAACACAAGUCUGAGGUAGCUCAAGUGUUUGUGAAGUUUAAAAAUGCUGUAGAAACAGAAACAGGUUGCAAGCUGAAAUCGAUAAGGACUGACAAUGGCACUGAGUACACUUCAGCUCAAUUUCAAGCCAUUUGCAAUGAUGCUGGUAUCAAACAUUAGCUUACAAAUGUCUACACACCUCAGCAGAAUGGGGUAGCUGAAAGAAAGAAUAGAAGUCUGAUGGAUAUGGCCAGAUGUCUGCUGUUUGAGAAGGAACUGCCCAAAACUAUGUGGGCUGAGGCAGUAAACACUGCUGUUUACCUUCAGAACAGGCUUCCUACUAAAGCUCUUGCAUCCGAGACACCUUUCGAGGCUUGGUUCAGUUUCAAACCUUCCUUGGCACAUCUGAAGGUGUUUGGUUGCCUGUGUUAUGCACAAAUACCAGCAGCAAAGAGAGACAAGCUCUCCAAAAGGGCUCAACCAGGUGUUCUAGUAGGCUACAGCUCAGUCAAGAAGGGCUACAGGGUUCUGGAUCCCUUGACAAACAAAGUCCAGGUGAGCAGAGAUGUCAUCUUUGAUGAAAAAGCCUGCUGGAAUUGGGAGAAAAAUGAGCCAGAAGCAGUUUCAGAAGACCUAGUGCCUAAUCAAGCUGAACCUGAGCAGCUAGGACCUGAAAUGGAUGUUGAUGAUGUGCCUGUGAGAGGCACAAGGCCCCUAGAUGAUGUUUAUGAAAGGGCACAGGUUGCAAUAGCAGAACCUAGCAGUUUUGAAGAGGCUGAGGCAGAUGAAGGCAGGAAACUAGCUAUGGUCAAUGAAAUCAACAUGAUUGAAAAGAACCAGACAUGGGAGCUAGUUGAUAAACCUGUUGGAAAGAAGACCAUUGGAGUAAAAUGGGUCUAUCGAGUAAAACAGAAUGCAGAUGGCAGUCUGAACAAGCUAAAAGCCAGGCUUGUUGUCAAAGGAUUUAGCCAAAGGUAUGGUCUGGACUACCUGGAGACAUUUGCACCAGUAGCCAGGCUUGACACAGUCAGAAUGAUAGUUGCUUUGGCUGCUCAACAUCAGUGGAUCAUUCAUCAGCUUGAUGUUAAGUCUGCAUUUCUCAAUGGUUUCCUGGAAGAAGAGAUCUACAUCGAGCAGCCUCAAGGAUUUGUGAUCACUGGCAAAGAACACAUGGUGUACAGACUGAAAAAGGCUUUAUAUGGCCUGAAACAGGCUCCUCGAGCCUGGUAUGCUCGAAUUGACUCUUACUUACUCAGUUUGGAAUUUGAGAGAAGUCCCAGUGAACCAACACUGUAUGUGAAGAAGAACCAAGCUGAAACUCAGCUUAUUCUGUCACUCUAUGUUGAUGAUCUAUUGGUAACUGGAGGAGAUAGAAGAAUGCUGGAAAAUUUCAAAAGAAAAAUGAUGGAAAUGUUUGAAAUGUCUGAUUUAGGCAGAAUGAACUACUUCCUUGGAAUGGAAGUGAACCAAACAGAAAAGGGAAUCUUUCUUAGUCAGAGUUCUUUUACUAUGAAGAUCCUGGACAAGUUCUCUAUGAAGAACUGCAAGCCAACAAGCACACCAAUGGCUGUUGGAGUGAAGCUUUCGAGACAAGGGAGUGGUGAACCAAUUUGCGAGGCCAUGUACAAGAUUCUCAUUGGUAGUCUGUUGUAUUUGACUGCCACAAGGCCCGAUAUCAUGUUUGCUGUUAGUGUGCUAUCAAGAUACAUGAAUUGCUGCAAUGAUCAGCACUUUCAAGCAGCUAAAAGGGUGCUAAGAUACAUCAAAGGCACCAUUAGUCAUGGUGUAUUGUUAAAAAGGGCUGAAAACAUGAAGCUGAUAGGCUAUGUUGAUAGUGACUGGGCUGGAUCAAGUGAUGACAUGAGGAGCACAUCCGGAUAUGCAUUCAGUCUUGGCUCAGGCAUGUUUUGCUGGAGUUCUAAGAAACAAAGUCUGGUGGCACAAUCAACAGCAGAAGCUGAAUAUGUUGCUGCUGCAUCAGCUGUGAACCAAGCCAUAUGGCUUAGAAAAAUCUUAGCUGAUUUAAACCAAAACCAAAAGGAGGCAACAGAGAUUUAUUGUGACAACAAAUCUGCUGUUGCAAUUGCAAAAAAUCCCAUUUUUCAUGGCAGAACCAAGCACUUCAAUAUUAAGUUGCAUGUUAUAAGGGAGAUGGAACAAGCUCAUGAAAUCGAGCUGAUUCAUUGCAAUUCAGAAGUGCAAAUUGCUGAUAUCUUCACAAAGGCACUCAAUGUGUCUAAAUUUGUUAAAUUCAAAAGGGAAUUAGGUGUUACUAGCAUGGAAACUAAGGAGGAGUGUUAAGUUUAGUUCCCAUGCAAAGGUGGCCAUGCACGACAUACAAAGGUGGUCAUGCUCCUGGAAUCGCAGCAAGCAGUGGUGCCAUGGUGUGCAGCAAUUAAAGUUUGAAGCUGCCAAUCUAUUUGCUGUUUUAGUUUCAUUUUGAUUGUUUUGUAAUCUAGUUCAUGUUGAACUAAGUAGGUAAAUGUUUUGAUAUUGAUUGACUGAAAAGUCAGCAAUGCAAGUUGUACAAGCUAAUCUUGUAAGUUUCAAUGCAAAUUAGUGGAGUUAGGUAGUUGAUUAGGUGAUUACUUGUUUGUUUUACUUAUUGACUAAUAUAUGUAAUGGCUUAAUGCCUUGUUGUAAUGUUAAUGAAAGAUAUCAGCUCUUUUUCAUUCAAUCUUCUUCUCUCUUUUCUGUUUUUUCACUUGCUAGUUUCAUCUUUCUGUUUUCUGCUUCCGAGCUUGCUUCUUCACCAAGGCUCGAGACUUACUACUCAAGCAAGACUUGAAACAGUUUGUUGCUGCCUCUUGCACCAACAGGAGUUCCGAGAAAUUGUGCGGGGUAUCAUGGAAGAGUUGGGAAAACCCAACUUUGGUGAUAAUUUCCCUAUUGCUAAUCUUGACUUGCAAGGCAUCAGGCGUCGAGUGGCAAUUCUUUUUAGAAAGAUGAUGGAUCUUUUCGAUAAAAUGCUCAAUGAGCGGAUGGAGUUGAGAAGGAUGAAUGAUUAUAUAUCAAUUGAUGAUUUCUUGGAUAUCCUUCUCCAACUCAGCCACCAAGGAAACAGCGAAAAGCUCGACAGAAAUCUUAUCAAACAUUUGAUUUUGGUUGUAACUUAAUCUCUUUUCAGUAAUUUAUUAUUUAAGUUGUAUAAGUUGUUCAACUUGGUAAGAAAUUGUGAAACAGGAUUCGGUUGUAGGCGCAAUCGAGACAACUACAAGUACUUUGGAAUGGGCAAUGGCGGAAUUACUCCAAAACCCAAAAGUUUUGCAGGAAGCCAGAGGAGAACUGAAGCAAAUAAUUGGCGAGGGGAACUUGGUGGAGGAAUCUAACAUUACUUGUUUACCUUAUUUGCAAGCAAUUGUCAAGGAAACGAUGAGGUUGCAUCCAUCGUUUCCUUUAUUACUCCCCAAAAAAGCUGAAGCAGAUAUCGAGAUUCAUAGCUUCGUCAUUCCAAAAGGUACACAACUGUUGAUCAACGCAUGGGCUAUAGGUAGAGAUCCUAAGUUCUGGGAGGUGCCUGACUUGUUUCGUCCAGAGAGGUUCAUAAGAUCAGAAAUGGAUGUUAAAGGAAGGGAUUUUGGACUGAUUCCGUUCGGAGGUGGGCGAAGAAUUUGCCCUGGAUUACCAUUGGCCAUAAGAAUGUUGCACUUAAUGUUGGGUGGACUCAUUCAUUCAUUUGAUUGGAAACUUGAAAAUAACAUCACACCAGAGAGUUUAGAUAUGAAGGAUAAGUAUGGUCUUUUUCUGCAGAAAGCUCAACCAUUAAGAAUCAUUCCGAUUUCAAAUUAACAAUAUUGUGUUGGUUAUUUUAUCUAUAACUAUUGAAGUGUAAUAAGUGAAACUUAGCUAACGACAACUUAUUGUAUCGUAAAUUUCAUGUUUUCAAACUUUCUGCCAAUCAAAUAAAAAUCAUAUAAAUCUAUCAGAAGGAACCGUGUAAUGUGCAGCUAAUAUUAACAUUUGAACUUUAACGAAGGUUCAUUUCAUCUACAACCAAAAACUACUACCGCAAUACAUCUUCAAAAUACAUGGAAUAAGUAGCUUUUUUCGUCGUUACUUGAAGCUUAGUGCUCAGCCAUUUAAUUGGAAAGAGUUUCACCUUUGUUUCUAAGAUCGUUCCGAGAAACUAUGUAGACAAGAAUCCUGGUACCAAGGUUAUCAGUGUAUCUACAAGUACAUAUAUCAAUUUCGACAAACCCUCGUACCUUACUAGUGACAGCUCUUGUAGUUUUUAAAGAAAUGCACAGUUCAUUGUAAAUGGUACAUACACCAAUAGAUUACCAUUAUAUAUAGAAGUGACAAGGAUAAGCUUGCUAAGUUUAUAAUCAAAUUAUACAACAAAUGGGAUGUUAAAUUUGUCCAAGUUCUGAAUAGGGAUGACAAUAGAGCGAGACAGGGUGGAUGCUGUUAAAUCCUUCACCACUCUACAGUUAUCAUGCUCUACUUCACUAUUUGUCUUGCUUCACUGUGGAUGUAUAAUAUUAAAUAUUAUUACCAUCUCCAUAGAUGUUAGAUGCACCCAUCCUUACCCCACCUCACCCUGCUCUUGAAGAUGCUUUAAAACCAUUUUUUGUAACUCGUGUUUGCUUCUUCAUUGAGUUCUCUGCUCAAAGUAGGGAGUAAAAGAAGAAUAGUGGAAGUAGGGUGGUGUGGAGGGAAAGAAGAUGAACAUUAGUAAUGGGGAAAAAAGUUUAUAAAAAAAGAUGAUGUGGUGUGCAUAAUCAACCGACGUUAGAGAUUUAACAUUUGGGUGACUAAAAUAAAAAUUUUCUCUAACGACAGUGACCAAAUUGCAAGUAUUUUUAUUUGGAUGAUCAAAAUGAAAGCACCUAAAGAGUUGGGUGACCAAUUAGGUAGUUUACUCAAAAAUCUAUCUAGUAAUUUUCAAGAUGGCUAAUCUAACUUGUUUAAAAAUUUAAAGUGCUAAAAAUAUUAACUUUUAAGUUUAUUAGAUUUUUUUAACACUUCAUCAAACAAGGCCUAAAUAAAAAAAAAGAAGGAAAAAGAAAAAAUUAAAAAUCAUGAUGCUACACUCCUAUGAAAGAAAAUAUAUAAAAAAAUCAAGUUAAUUGAUAUGAAGUAGGUGUCCAAAUUUUCUAUUGAUAAAAUGUAGUUUAUAAGCUAGAAAAAGUUAAGAAAAUGUGGUUAUUGGUUGAAGGGAUUAUCUUGUCUAAAAGCUUUGCUUUAAUGAUUUAGAUGAAGAAUGGACGGAUAGAUUGUUUAUUUGGCAUCAUUACAACUUUUGACAUCACAAUUAAAAAUAGGUGGAGAAAUGAUAAGGAUUUCAAAUGGAAGAGAGAAAUUGGUAUCCCUCGAAUAUGUGAAUAUUUUUCCAUUUUUAUUUUCAUGGGAAUCAAUGGGAUACAGAUUAUUCCUGGGAAGCUUAUAUAAGUAAUUCAUAAUAUAUGUAUUUGAUUCUGAUUUUUCUAUAUCUGUCAUUCUUAAUUUAAUGAAUGAUAAAAGGUUAAUAGAAUACGUUAGGUAUGAAAAUUAAUAUACUUUUCUAUCUACGAAUGUUGAUUAUAUAAUAUAAAACUAAGAUGGUACUAAAUGUCAAUUCUAAGGCAAAUAGUUUCGUUGAGCUUCAUCCUUGCAAGUAUGAAGUGUGCUUCAAAAAGAGCUUAGAUGUUGACCGACUAGAAAACGGUAAGGGUUUCAAUUUGACCGCUUUGAACCUCCCCCCAAUCUUGAGGAUUUUGCAGCUUGGUGAUUGCUUUCUCCCAUUUUUCUUGCAUGUUGGGUUAAUUUGAAGCAAGCUUGGAUGUUUGUAGGCGCUGUUGAAGUAGUUGAGUUUCCAGAAUUGAAUACAAACGCUGUUGUUGUUUAGAUUCAAUCUCUUUAAGAUAUUGCCGAUGACUUGAAUUCCAAAUUGCAGCUUUAAUGGCGGACAUUGGUUUAUUGCUUCUUUACCCUCUGCAAGCUUUCAUUGAAAACUGAAACGGUCGGCCCUUCCAUUCAAUGUUUCUAGUUCCAUCAUCAGAAAGGAUCCAUGCACUAGAAGGCCCUCCAUAGCUUCAAAUCCCCACCCUAACCCAUCUCUUUACUUUCUCCUUCCUUUCUUUCUCUCUCAAUCAAUCUAAAAGCUUUUACCAAUUGGUCCUCUUUGUGUUAUGUACUAUUCAAAUGGAGGACACAACAGGAAGAUUAAAAUCUUCUCAGCAAGUGUUAGGAAAAAAGGGUUAAUAUGUCCCUUCAACUUCGCAAAUUAAUAAUACUUAAACUUUUUUCUAAUUUAAUCUGAACUGAAUUGAUAAUUUUUUUUAAAUUUUUGGUUGACUAUGUUAAAUUUUAUACUAACACACGUCUUAAAUUUUUUUUUUUGAAAAAUAAAAAUAAAAAUAAAAAAUUAAGAAUUUUAGGAAUUUCUUUUAUUCCAACAUGGAAAAAUCACAUUAACAACUAUUUUUCUAAGUAAUUUGGACAAUAAAACUGGAGUGCCUUAAAAAAUUUUUUUUGACAAUAAUCUCACAUCAAUCAAUCGAAUAUUAAUUAAUACAUAAUCAAUCAAACACUAUUUAAAAAUGGCUCUUUUGCUCAAAAAAAAAUAUUCCAAAUGUUAAGUUCAUUCUAAAAAUGUCUUUCUAGUAAUUUUAUAUUUUUAUAAUUUUAAAAAAAGAUUAAAUAUAAAAUUGGUACUUGAACUUGUCCACUUUUCUUAUAUUGGUACUUGUAAUUUUUUUGUCUUAGAUUGAUACCCAAACUGUUUUUAUGUCCACUAGAUUAGUACCUGAGCCUAACGAUGUUAAUUUUUUGUUGAUGUGGCAGCACUAGCCAUUCACGUUUUGCCACGUGUUAUCCUCUUUGGCUGCAAGUCAAACCCCCUUUAAUUAUUUUUCCUUUCGUUUUCUUUUAAAAAUUAAUUUUUUUUCCUUUCAUUUUUCUUUCACUAUCAUAUUCUACCUCUUCGCCUUCUAGCUCACUUUUAUCUCUUUUGUUUUUUCCUUUCACUAUCUGUUUUGUUUUCUACUUGAUCUCUUCGCUUUCUAUCUAUUUGAUUUUAUCUAUUCAUAACACAUCUUUUAAAGGAAGAAAACAAGCGAAAAUGUCUUUUUCAACAAAUAGAAAAUUAAGUGCUCAAAAAAGUUUUUGUACCCAUAAUGUUCAAAACAAAGAAACCAACAAAUUCAAAGAACAAAUAACAAACAAUAAAGAAUCCAACACAUUCAAAGAACAAAUAACAAACAAACAACCCAAAAUCUUAAAGAAGAAAAAAAAAGAACCUGAUAUAUUCUCAAUUUCAAUCUCAGUAACAAAUAAAGAAUUUAAAAUUUUCAACCCAAAAUCAUUUCAACUAGAAAAAAAGUUAACAACCUAAUAUAAUAGCAAGAACCUAAAAUGAGAGCAACAACCUAAAGAAUUACAAGAAUUUAAAAUUAUUUAAAAAUAAGAAAUUUACAACCAGAAAGAUAGCAAGAACUCAAAAAAAAUAAAUGAAAUACAAGAAUUUAAAAAACCCUAAAAAACCUACGGAUCCAAUGAACAACAAAGGCAAUUCCUCUCUUGAAUUUGUUAACCCUUAACUCCAUGACCUGAAGAACUUCUACUAGUCUCUAAGAAAAUUGAUUCUCUGUUGUUGCCUUGGCAGCGGUGUUGCUACUACUCCCUUUGGCUCCUCAACUCACUUUUAGCCUCACCAAAAGCCUCCUUAGUCUUUCUUCAGCAAGCGGAGAGUAUAAUUUCAAAAGCUCAAGGAUCAAGUUUUGAUUUUUUUUAUAGCUUUAAAGAGAUUUUCUUGGAAAUACAAGGCAAGAUUUGAGAAGAUAAGGAAGAGAGAAGUGUUGUAACACCCCACACCCGUACCCUACGUCGGGAUAAAAUACGAUGCGUUACUAAACUUAAACACAUGUAUUCAAAUGUUUCCGAGUCACCAAGACUUGAUCGAAUUUAAAACUUUUUUGAACCUUGUCUAAACUCCUUAAUAUGGGCCUACGAUGCCUCAAACAUUCAUUGGAAACCAUUUGGGGACCAACCUGGGUCAUUUAACUAACCUUAGAAAAAUAACUCUUAAAACAGGGCACACGUUUGUGUGGAAGGGCAACACGCACGUGUGGUUAUUAUAACACGGCCAUACUGAUAGCCCAUGUGACACACACGACCUAAGCAUAUAGGGACAGGUCCGUGUCCCAUGCCUGUGUGAAUUAAAUUCUAAUUCGAACCUACAGGGGUUUCAUACGGCCUGACACACGCCCGUGUCUAUAGCCUGUGUCUCUCACACGGCCAUGACACGCCUGUAUCUUAGCCCCUGUCUAAAAACCUUGACAUUAUGUUUCUGACCUCAGCAUCUAAUUUAGGGCACACGGCCAAGGCACAUGCCUGUGGCCAGAAGCCGUGUCCUCCACAUGGUUGAGAUACACGGCUAUGUCUCUACCCGUGUGUUUACUAACAUACAUUCUGACUUGCAAAUUUUACGUGCAAGGGACACACGGCCGAAUAACACACCCAUAGGGUUGGCCGUAUGUCACACACGGCUUAAACACACGCUCGUGUGUCUACCCGUGGGGACAAUAUAGGGCUAUCUACCAAGCCUUUGCCACCCUGAAACACAAUCUAACAUCAACCAACAUAUCAAAGAUUAACUUAAUAUGAUUUCUCAACCAAACAGCCAUAGCUAAGACCUAUAUACAUUACAUAUAUUCAACCAUGCCAACAAUUUCACAUUCAUGAAAGACUAGCUUGCAUUCACAUAAUAACUUUCAAUAUUAGCCAUUUUCCAUGGCCUUAUACAAAAUGAAUCAAAUGCUAAGCUAAGCUAUCAUAUUUGGCCAAUUAACAAUGACACAAAACUUAAAAGUCUAAGUUCCUAUACAUGCCAUAUUCAAAAUGAUAAAUCUAAUUAUACCGAGUGCUUCAGUUGAUAGUGUGAUUAAUGCCUCCGACGUCUGUUGAUCUUCGAGCUAGUUAGGCGGCACUAUAAGAAAAUAGAAAAGAGAGGGAGUAAGCAUAAAGCUUAGUAAGUUGUAUGCAAAUAAAUAUAGCAACAACUUUCCCAUUCAUCAUCAUGCUUAUAGUACAAAAGUAGGCAUAAGCACAACUUACUCGUCACUAACCAAUACAAUUCACAUAGCAUAUAUAUUGAGCUCACGUAUCAUACAUUUCAAAUAGGAACCUGUACCACUCACAACAUGGUUAUACUUUUCUCGUUUGACUUAAACUAUAACUCUUACCGUUGAACCAUUUGGAAAGCUAUUCGAUAUUCAUUAUGCCUCAAACAUAGGGUAUAAUGCCGCUGCCAUGUCUUAUACAUGGUCUUACACUGGCUGAUCCAUCAAGUCGAUGCCAUAUCCAGACAUGGUUUUCACUGAUUAUCGAAAUCGAGGCUGACGCCAUGUCCCGGACAUGGUCUUACACUAGCUCUCACAUAUUCAUGCCGAUGCCAUGUCCCAGACAUGGUCUUACACUGACACAUCUCGUAGCUGAUGCAUGUCCCAGACAUAUCUUACACUAGUACACCAAUAACCCGAAUGUCAUGGCAUGAAUAUCCGAUUUAUUUCCUAAUGUUCAAACGGGAGUUCCACUAUCUCAAUAUUUAUCAUACAUAAUCAUUUUCACAAACAAGCAAUUUAUGCUAUAUCAAUUCAAACACAUACAAUAACAAUGUAGUUGUAUUAUUUACUACAACUUACCUCGAUAUACAAAAUGUAGACACUAGUUCGGUUUAGUCCACUUGUUUUACUUUUCCUCGGUCUAGGCUCGGAUUUUGUAUUUCUUGAUCUAAAAUAAUAAAAAUUCAUCCAUUUAGUCACUAGAUAAAUUUAUACAAUAAAAAGUUCACAUUUUUGGCAAAAUGACCAUUUUGCCCCUAGACUCGAAAAUCCAUUUUUUAUCAAAUUUCUUCAUGCCUUAAGCCUAGCUGAACCCUUUUUACUCUUAUAGAAACCCAAAAUUUCCAUUAUUUCACACAUUUGUCAUCUAUUUUUACAACUUAUGCAAAAUGGUCCUUAGUUAGGGUUUUCAUGAAAAUUACUUCACAAAAGUUGUUUAUUUUACAACCAUGAUUCAUUUCCUUCCAUAAAAUUUCAGAAAAAAAACAUGAAUAUUCUCAUGUUAAAACCCUAGACUCUCAAUCAUUUUGCAAAAUAGUCCCCCCAUUAGCUAGCUCAUGCCACAAGGGUUCCAAAAGUACUAAAAUUAUAAAAAAUAACCAUCUAAAUCACUUACUUGAGAGGGAGAUGAAUGGUUGGAAGUUUUAACCUUCAAAGCCCUUACUCUUGCUGAAAAUUUCGGUGAAGAAGGAGAUGAGAAAGGGUUGAUAUCAUCCCUUGUUUAUUUUAUUUCUUUUUAGUCAAAUAAGCCACCAAAUUUUUACCUAACAUUUGACUAUCUAAUUUCUUUGUCUAAUGGCCGAUCAAGCACUAUUCUAGGGUCUAUUUUCUCUUUAAAGAUCCCCAAUUAAUGAUACAUGGAAAUUUAAGACCCUUAGCUAUCAAAUUAAGACUUUUGCACUUUAUGCGAUUUAGUCAUUUUUCACAAUUAAGCAUGAAAUCGCUAAAAUUAACUCACCAAAAUUUUUAUACUCUCAUAUAAUCAUGCCAAAACACAUAAAAUAAUAUUAAAAAUAAUUUCUCUGCCUUCGGAUCAGUGGUCCCGAAACCACUGUUUCAAUUGGGCUUAAAAUCGAGAUGUUACAAGUGUUUUAAUGGUCGGAUCGGCUGGAGAAGGCCAUGGAUGGUGGCAACUCAUGGCAGUGACAACUAAGGUUAAAAGAAGAGGAAUAUGGAGAAGAAGAGAAGAAGACAUUGUGUGUAACAGCCUAAUUUUUAGUGGUGUCGGAACAGUGAUUUGAGAUCACUGAAUCAGACAAAUGAGUAGGAAAUAUUAUUAAUUUAGUGAGUAUAAGUUAAAUGUGAAGUUAGGAAAAAUUUUGAAGUAGUGAAUAGUGUACUAAAAAUAAAUAUUAAAAUAAUUAGAAUCGAAAACGAGGUAUUGAGACCUCGAGAAUUUUAAAUCGAGCAAUAAAUAUUUUUAUAAAUAUUUAUGGAGUGUUAAUAAGUCAGUAUUAAAGUUUCGUCAAGAAAUUUUAAAGUUCUGAUAGUUAAUUGAACAAAAAAGACUAAAUUGUAUUAAAUGCAAAAUUGUGAGAAAUGAUUAAAUAGCUUAAAUGAUAAAAGAAAGAGGGUUUAAAAGGAAAAUAGACCCAAGGUCUCUUUGCGCUGGAUGGCAAUGGCAUGAAAUCAGCAAGAAAAUAAGGAGAAUUAAGGGAAAAAUUGCAAAAUUGCAAAAUUUACUUAAUAAAGCUAGGACUAAAGUGGAAUUAUCUAGAUUGCUCUUUAUUUUUCUGCAUUCUCAUCAGAAAAAACACCAUGGAAGAGUUCCCUUGAGCUGGUUUUUUUUCAUAUUUUUACUUCAGGUAAGUUCAAUUCUUGAUUAUUUCUUAAAUUUUUUUGUGUUUUUGUGACUUUUACAACUAGGUCCACUAGUUAAAUUCAUUAGUUUUUGAUUCUAUGAAAGAAAUUGAAAGUUGCUAUGAAUAUGUGCUGGAAGUAUAUGAUGAUUUUUCAUGGAAUUAGAGCUUUAAAUUGUUUAUAUGCUGAUUUUAUUGAAACAAUUGAAUAGAAAGUGAAUGUUUGGGACCUAAUUGUAAAAGAGUUUGAAGUUAGAGUUUUAUGUAGAAAUUAUGAAUUUAAAUAGUUAUGAAAUAACUUAUAAUGUCUAGGAAAAGUAUUAAUUGAGAAAAUUAUCUUAAUUGAGGGGUUAAUUGAGCAAGGACUGAAUUGUAUGAAUUGUGAACUUUGGGGCAAAAUGGAAAUCAACAUUUUGCACUAAAACUGUUUUGGACAGCAGCAGUAGUCUAACUUUGAAAAAUCACCAAAAAUUGUAGAAAUGGAAUUAGAGGAUGAAUAAAUAUGAAAUUAAAGCUUAUUGAGUCUAGUUUCUUAUAGAAGAAAUGAUGUAAGCAAUGGAAUUGUAAAUCAUGAGAUAUGUUAAAUUUUGUGAGACAAGGUCAGAAUGAUUUCGGGUUCCCCUGUUCUGACUUUGUAAAAUCAUCAAAAAUUGGAUAAAAAUAAUUAGGGCUUAAAUUUAUAUGUUUAGAAUCUUGAAUGAGUCUAUUUUCAAGAGAACAAACGGGAACAUCAUUCGAAUCCUGUACGAGGAGAUAAUUAAUUUUUAGUGAAGAAGGGUCGGAGCUGUCAGACAGCAGAACAGGGGAGACUUCAAUGAAUAAAAUGUAUUAAUUGGCCUAACCAAAAAUUAUGAAAUUUUUAUGGUAAGAAUAUAUAUGAGUAUAGUUUCAUAUAAAAUUAGCGGAUCUUAAUUUUGAGUUCUAUAGCUCUAUAUAUAAAUAAUUUAGUGACUAUGACACGGGUGGAUAGUCUGACUAUUCACAUAAGUAAUUAGUGAAAAUUAUGGAUAAGGUUACUUACAAGUGUGUUAUUUAUACCAAGGAUGUGGAUGGAGAGGAGGAGGGGGAAAAAUAUACGAAUGACUCGUGUAUAAAUUAAAUACAUGCCCGAUUAUAAUCGAUAAGUGUUGGAUUAGAAAUGAUAUAAUGUUUUAUGUGGAAUAUUUAUUAUGAAAUUAUGAUUAUCGUUAUAAUACAAAAUUUGUACUUGUGAGUUUAUAUGGCUAAAUUUUAGUGAUUAUUUGUUAAUUUUAUGAAUUUCAUGAUGUGUUAUUUCAUAUGUAUUAAUGAUAAAAUCGUGGAUAAUGUAAAAGUAUGAAAAUUGAAUAAAUGAUCAAAUUGAGCAUUUCAGUUCAGUGACAAGAUGAAUUAAAGGAAAAGACCAUAGUUGGACCAUGGCAACAAGUGAUAAGUGAUAGCUUCGGCUACACUUAUCUGAUCAAGGAUAAGUGAAAGUGAUAAGUAAUAGCUUCGGCUACACUUAUCUGAUCAAGGAUAAGUAAAAGUGAUAAGUAAUAGCUUCGGUUACGCUUAUCUGAUCAAGGACAAAUGACAAGUGAAAAGUGGUAGCUUUGGCUACCUGAUCAGUGAAAAGUGGUAGCUUCUGCUACCUGAUAAGUGAAAAGUGGUAGCUUCUGCUACCUGAUCAGUGAAAAAUGGUAGCUCCGACUACCUAAUCAAUGAAAAAUAGUAGCUCCGGCUACCUGAUCAGUGAAUAGUGGUAGCUUCGGCUACAAGUGACAAGUGAUUUCCGUAUAAGACCAUAUCUGGGAUAUGGCAUCGGUGUGAUAUAUGCUACUGUAUAAGACCAUAUCUGGGAUAUGGCAUCAGUGAGAUAUGUGAUUUGUGUAAGACCAUAGCUGGGCUAUGGCAUCGAUAUGUGAUAUGUGAUUACGUGUAAGACCAUAGCUGGGCUAUGACAUCGAUAUAUGAAGAUGUGUAAGACCAUAGUUGAACUAUGACAUCGAGUAAACGAAGUACUCAAUUCCGUAUGACGUUCACUAAUUUGACAAAGUUUGGUAAGUGUUACAUGGAAUUAUGUGAUACAUGAAGUACGAGUUGAUAAGAUAUGAGUAUAGAACUUGGUUGAUAAAUGAAUUCAUUUGUGAUUAUAUAAUUGUUCAUCUUGAAUGUACUAUCCAUAUGUAUUGAUAAUUCAAACGUAUUAAUGAAUAAAGUUCCAACAUGGAAUAAAUUAAACACGAGACAAAUAAUUAUGAAAUUGAACUCGGAAUUCAUGAAAAUGAUGGUUAUUGAUAUAUAGAGACAUGAGACAUUGGUAUAUGAAUAUGGAAAAUAUUUGAUAAAUGUGUUUAUUCAUAAUUAUGGAAUUAUAUACCUCAUGUGUACUAUUUGCAUAAAGAUGAUAUUUCAAAUACUUUGGUUAUUUAAGCUUAAAUAUGAAACAGUAUGAAAUCAAGAUAAGUUGUUAUAAAAAUAUAUUUAGAUUACAGAGAUAUGGCUAAUGUAUGUUGUAUGAUUACAUAACGUGAAAUUGUGUAUAUAUAUGAGAAAUUUAAUGAGAAAUGAGCCCAUACACGUUUCUUGUUAUUUAUAUGAAGUGUACGACUGACAAGGGUGAUGAAGUUAUAAACAGAGAGUUACACGGGUUGAAAACACGGGCUUGUGACUCUCCAAAGUGUGAAAAUUUUCUAAGUGUUGCAAAAGUUUCAUAUGUUUACGGUUUGGUCCCGAACCACCCUGAAUGUAUGUUUUGGGCCCCAUAGGCCCAUAUAAGGGACGUUAAACAUAUGUAUGAAAGUUUUUAAUUUAGAAGAAAUUUUAUGGCUGAUUUUUACAUGAUUGAUCAUAUUAAGUUCGGUAAUGCCUCGUACCCUAUUCUAGGCUCGGAAUAUUGGUAGGGGGUGUUACAUUGUGGCCAGGGUAGGAAAAAGAAAAAGAAAAGGAAGAAAAUGAGGAAAAAUGAAAAAAAAAGGUACAAAGAGGAUGACAUGUGGCACCAUAUGAGUGGUCAGUACUACCAUGUUAGCUCAAAAGUAACAAUGUUAUGCUUAGGUACCAAUAUAGUUGACGGAAAAAAAGUUUGGGUACCAAUUUAAGAUAAAAAAAAUCAUAAGUACCAAUCUGAGAGAAGUGGAAAAAUUUGGAUACUAAUUUAUAUUUAUCCUUUUUAAAAAUUAAAAUAUAAAAUUAUGGUGUAAAAUGACAACAAGAAUUUUAGAUAAUUUUCAAUUUUUUAUAUUUUGACCUUUUCUUAAAUUUUAGGAUGUUUAUUGUUUUUUUAUUGAACAGGCAUAAUCAACCUUAACAAAUGACUAUGGACAACAACGUCUCCAAAUUCAUUCUUAAUGUUUCCUUUUUAAUAAUUUUUAUUUUUAAUAAUUUAAAAUAAUAAUAAAUUUAAAAUAAAUUCCAUAUUUUAAAAUAAGCCUUAAACUUCAAUACUUAAAUUAUUUAUAAUCAUUUUAAAUUUUCAAAUAUUCAACAAUAUAAAAAUUUAAAACGCAAAUUUUUAUAUAUUUAACCAAAUAAUUUAUAUUUGAUUUUUUUUAUUUUGAUAUUUGAUUUUUUAAUUAUCCUUGAGAACGUUUUUUUUUAAUUCUCCAAUUAACCAAAAUUUUAUUUAAUUAUAAAAAUCCAAUUUAAGGAAACUUUCGAUUGUGUUAGUAUGUUUAUUUUUCAUCCCACUUGAAUUUUUUUAUAAAAAAAUUUGGAAUUCAUUUUUUAUUUAUAUUAUUAUUUUUGAAAUUAUAAAAAUAAAAUAAAAUUCCCAUAUAUAUAUGUUUAGAAUGAACAUGGUCACACUGUUAUCUAAAUUUAAAUAAAUCUAGAAAAUAGUUUGUUUAAGUUUAUUUUACACAGGAAAUUAAAAAAUUAAAAAAUUUCUAAAAAACCUAUAGCUUAUUUUAAAGUAAUACUUUUUAUGCUAUUAUUUUUUGAAAUCAUAAAACUAUUAGAAAUACAAGUUUAGAAUUAACCUAAACAAUUAUUUGUUGUGAUUCAUUAUAUAUGCACAUGAAAUUAAAAAAAUAAAAAUCCUAAAAUUUCUAAUUUUCUUUAAAGAAAUAGAUAUAUUUUAAGACACACGUGAAUAUUCUAUUGGUUUUUAGCAUAAAAUUAUAAAAUUUAAUGCCACCAAAGUACCUAAAAAUUAGGUAUAAACUAAGAGAAAUUAGGUAUAAAUUAAGUACUCCAAGUUGAAAGGCUAAGAAAAAACUGGAAAUUAAAAUGUUUUUACUACUGCCACAAUAAAUAUAGUGCAUAGCUAAAUAGUUAGUAUAGGGAAGAGGAUGAUUCUCAUGCAAAGUAAUAUUGUAAUUUUUUUUUAUUUUUUUGAUAACCGUUUUAAAUUUAUUAAUAUUUUUAAAAAAUAUUAAAUAUAUGUAUAUAAAAAUAUUAAAUAAAUAAAUUUCCAAUAUGAAACAUGCAUCAAUUAUAUAAAAUACUAAUCAAUAAAGUUUACAAAUAAAAAAAAAUAUUUUGCAACAAAUGUCAAUAUUAUCUCAUUAAUUAAACAACAAAAUAACUAAACAUAUUAGAUGAAAGGUGCAUAAAAACUUACGCACGAAGCUAUGUUCAUGAAUCUUUAAGCUUCUCGCCUUGUAAUUGUUAUAUAAAAUUUGAUAGCCGAAAAAUUCUAUUGUUUACAUUUCGUGUAACUCAUGUAUCGUAUUUGCUUGAUUCUAUCUCUGUAAUUGUUGAUUUAGUUAAUGGUUCAAAGUAUUAAGGUGUUAGGUACUAAUUAUGAAUGUUGAUUAAAUAAUAAUAAUAAUAUAAAAUAAAAAUGCAUGGCAAAUCAGAUGUGUAAUAGUAGUAGCUACAAUAGAUCUCAAAAUUUAGGGUGGUAAAGCCUUUGUGCUGUUGGUUACUAGCAUUUUGAGCCUGUGCCAUUUGACAAUGAAAGCCUUUUAAAUUUGUGUAACAUUAUAUAAAUUGCUAUAAAAUUAUUGCUUCAUUCAAAACAAAGAAUUGGUAUUUCUUAUACACUGAAAGAGGUACUUUCUAUUGUGUAUAACAGCAAGCAAUUAAUAUGGAUUUCUUGAGUUGCUUACUGUACUUUGUUUUCUACUUGAUCUUGUUUCAAGCUUUCCAUUUUAUCACAAGAAGGAAACUGGGAAGAACCCACAAGCUUCCGCCCGGUCCACCAACAAUUCCAAUCUUCGGGAACCUCUUUCAGCUUGGUGAUGAACCCCAUAGGGCCCUUGCCAAACUUGCCAACAUUCAUGGGGACAUCAUGACUUUGAAACUUGGCCAAACAACUACGCUAGUUCUUUCGUCUGCAGCCAUGGCCAAAGAAAUCCUCCUAACGUACGAUGCCAUAUCUUGUAACCGAACCGUUCCAGGUGCCCUUCGUGCCCUUCAACACAACGAAACCGGAUUGCCUUGGAUGUCUGUUUCAACCACAUGGAGAAAUCUUAGGAAAAUCUGUAAUUUGCACAUUUUCGCUAGUCACAAACUUGACGCUAACCAACACUUGCGGCGUAGCAAAAUAGAGCAACUCCUUGCUGAUGUUCGUGAUAGUUCCCGCGUAGGGGAAGCGAUCGAGAUAUCCACCAGUUGUUUUCAAAACUACACUUAAUCUUUUGUCCAAUACUAUUUUCUCUAUCGAUUUAGCUGACUCUUCAGAUAGUGCUCUGGAAUACCAAAAAAUUGUGCGAGGUGUCAGGGAAGAGUUAGGAAAACUCAAUUUUGGUGAUUAUUUCCCUACUCUUCUUGAUAAUCUUGACUUGCAAGGUAUAAGGAGGCGGAUGUCGAUUCAUUUUGAGAAGUUGAUGAAUAUUUUCGACAAACUGAUAGAUGAGCGGUUGGAGUUGAAAAAGAUGGAUGAUUAUAUAUCAACUAAUGAUUUAUUGGAUACUCUUCUCCAACUCAGUAAACAAGAUAGCAACGAAGAGCUCGACAGAAAUUUGAUAAAGCAUUUGAUUCUGGUUUUUAACUUCAUCUCCUUUCUGUCUUUUAUUAUUUAAUUUCAUAACUUGGUAAUAAGAAAUUGUUUUGAAACAGGAUUUGUUGAUAGCGGGGACGAAUAGUACUUCCAGUACUUUGGAGUGGGCAAUGGCAGAAUUAUUCCAUAACCCAAAACCUUUACGGGUAGCUCGAAGAGAACUGCAACAAGUAAUUGGCGAAGGGAACCCAGUGGAGGAAUCCCACGUUACUUGUUUACCUUAUUUGCAAGCAAUUGUUAAGGAAACGAUGAGAUUGCAUCCUCCAAUUCCCUUGUUACUUCCUCGAAAAGCUGAAGAAGAUAUUGAGAUUCAUAAUUUCGUGGUUCCAAAGGGUGCACGAGUGUUGAUCAACGCAUGGGCUAUAGGUAGAGAUCCUAAUUUUUGGGAGGAACCUGACUUGUUUCUUCCUGAGAGGUUCAUAAGAUCAACAAUUGAUGUUAAAGGAAGGGACUUUGGACUCAUUCCAUUUGGGAGUGGUAGACGAAUUUGCCCUGGAUUGCCACUAGCCAUGAGAAUGUUGCACUUAACGUUGGGUACACUUAUUUAUUCAUUCGACUGGGAACUUGAAGAUGGAGUUACACUUAAAAGUUUAAGCAUGGUUGAUACAUGUAAUCUUGUUCUACAGAAAGCUCAACGAUUAAGACUUAUCUCACGUUCAAUUUAAUAAUAUUGUAUUAAAUUGAAGAGAAAUAAUUGGAACUUAGAAAAUAAGCUUUAAAAUAGCAAUAAUUCCAAAAAUUCUAUUGUUUACAUUUUCGUCGGAGCCAAUGACAUAUAGAUUAUUUUCGUGUAAUUUUAUGUAAGUAAUUCAAAUUAUAUUUGCUUGAUUCUAUCUUUGUAAUUGUUGAUUUAAUCCAUGCCCCAGCCCCCGUAAAAUGUAAAAUUAUUUUUAGGCCCUUAAAAUUUUUUAAAAAUUUUAAAUUAAUAAAAGUAAAAUUACACUUUGGCCCCCCUAAAAUUAUAAAAAUUCGUUUUAAUUCUUUACAAAUUAUAAAGAUAUAAACUAUAAAAAAUUAAAAUUUCAUCCGGCCCCCUAAAACAUUUUUCGGUACAUAAAAUAGAUUAAGGUGUUAGGUAUGAAAUUUAAUUAUGAAUGUUCAUUUACUAAUAUAAAAUAAAAAUGCAUGGCAAAUCAGAUGUGUAAUAGUAGUAGCUACAAUAGAUAUAAAAAUUAUCUUCUCAGAAUUUAGCCUUGUAGCCGUACCAUUUGGCAAUGAAAGCCAUUUAAAUUUGUGUAAGCACUACAGCAAAACUGACUUUUAGCGGCAUUUUUAGGCCUUUAGCGGCGCUUUUAAGCGCCACUAAAACUAUUAGCGGCGUUUUUGCAAGCGCCGCAAAAAACAUCGCUUUUCCCACAAACGCCGCUAAAGGUCAUAAAAAUUAAAAAAAAAUAAAAUAUUAUAAAAUAUUGUAAAAGUCCUAAAAAAUAUAAAAAAAAUAAAAUUCAUUAUCAAAAUAUUGAGAAGAAGAAUAAUCUAUGAUAUAAAUACAUCCCGCCAAAUACCGCACUUAUCAUACUACACCAGAAAUCUAACAAAAUACAAAUAGAACAAAAUAAGGAUGAAUGAAAGACAUUAAUGAUAUAUAAAAUCAUUGUUUCUAAUGCAUAUGUAGAAAUCAAGCCAUGGUGUGCACCAAGGAUCCGGCUCUCGUAAUAGCACCAGGCCUUGAUCAAAAUAAUAAUACUGCGUUUGAAAAGAUGAUCUUUUCCAAUUAGCUGGUCAACCUGAAAAAUAAACAGUUCAAAAGAAGUCAUAUGUCAAUUAAACUUGCCACCUGUAAUAUCCCGAAUUAGGGCCUAAUCGGAAUAGUGGUUUCGUAACCACAAAUCGGAGAUAGAAAUAAUUAUUUUAUAAUUAUUUUGAGGUUUAUGAUAUGAUUGCAUGAUUGUGUGAAAAUUUCGUAAUGAAAUUCUAUGCCUAAAGUGCUUAAAUUGAAAGUAGGGACUAAAUCAAAUAAGUUGCAAAACUUGCAUUCCAGAAGUUUUUAGUAUAAAAUUGUUUUGGAAUAUUAAUGAGGAGGUCUUAAAUAGCAAUUUGACCAAUUUUAAGUUCAUGGACAAAAUUAGGACAUGGAAGGAAUUUUUGGAAAGUUUAGUAGUAAGGGUAUUUUGGUCAUUUAGUUAUUAAAAUGAAUUAAAAACAAAAUUAAAAGUCAAUUUUUGUCCAUCUUUUUCAUUAGGCCGAAAUUUCAAGGGUUCUCCAUAGCUAGGGUUUGUUUCAAGCUUCCAAGCUCCAUAAUCAAGAAAGACGUGGAAUCGACCUCAAUCGAGGAAAAGAAAAGAUUGUGGACUAAAUUACAAAAUCUUUGUAUUUUGGUACCAAGGUAAGUUCAUGUGUAAAUAAUGUAGCAUAAUGGUUAUUUUUAAAUUAUUGAUGUUAAUUAUAUGUUAUGCUAAAUUUUAUUAUGAAAUGUAUGUUUUGUGGUUAAUUUAAAAUAAUAUGUAAAUUAUGUGAACUACUUGUUAAAUAUAAUUGUUACCGAGUAUUGAUUUCGGCAUUCUACGGAAGACGGCAAGGAUAAGUGUUCGAGGAAAAAGCCCGUUUGAACCUUAGGAAUAGAUUAGGAUACAAGUGACAUGUCACUAGGAUGGUUGAGCAUCCGAACUCGUUGAGUUGAGUCCGAGUUCACUUAUGGAUACGAAUGUCCGAACUCGUUGAGUUGAGUCCGAGUUCGUGAGAUGUAACUAGGCAGCCGAACUCGUUGAGUUGAGUCCGAGUUCACUCAUGGAUGCGAACGCCCGAGCUCGUUGAGUUGAGUCGAGUUCGCUUAUGGGCGGGUUACAUGAUUGCUUGAUUGAAUAUGUGGCACUUAUAUGCAAAUUAUCCAUGUAUCCGAAUUAUAUUCCGAUGUGUUCAACGGGUAAAGUUCUACUCAAUGGAGGAAUAUUCGAGAUGUAAAGAGAAGUAUUGGUGAGUGAUGUGAAAUGGAUAUUUUGGACAGGUAUGUAUUUAACCCUCGGGUUGAGUAUUGAUACAACCACUAUAAGGUAAUAAGAUGAUGAAAAAUGAUCAGAAAUGUGAUAUGUGUUUUAGUGAUGUAUGCUAAUGUUGAUUGGUAUAACUGUUUGUUAUGUUACUUAUUAUUUGCAUAUGAACUUACUAAGCAUUUAUGCUUACUCCCUCCUUCUUACUCAUUGUAGUUUUGGACAAGCCAGCUCAGGAGUCAGGAUAGGUCGAAGGCUCAGUCACACUAUCCGGAAGACUUUUGGUAAAUGGCUUGUAAAUUUAUGUAUGGCAUGUAUAGCAAUAUACCUAUUUUGUGUAAAUGAUCUUAUGGUAUGGUUGUGGAAUGGUUGAGGAAAUGCUUGAUAAUGAUAAAUUAUGAAAAUGGUUAGUGUAGAUUAUGUUUGAUGUUAAGGAAAACUAUUAAGAUACUUAGUGCAUAAAAACUCAUAAAAAGGAUGAAAUUUGCCAUAAACAGAAUACUGCAGCAACACUGACGCGAGUUUGAAAAUUUAUUAAAAAUCAUAGCAAUUGAAUUUGGUGAUGGAAUACAUAUCAAAUUGAAGCUUAUUAUUUCUAGUUUCACAUGAAACAAAUGAAACAGGUAAAGGAAUUAUAUGUUAGAAGAUAUUUGAAUUUUAGUGAAACAGGGUCAUAGCAGUUUUUGAAUCCCCUGUUCUAACUUUAGAAAUUCAUUAUAAAUUAUAAAGAUAUAAUUAGGUGGUAUAUUUUAUAUCCUCAGAAUCCUUAUUGAGUCUAGUUUUAGUAGAAACAAAUCUCAUAGUCAUAUGAAUUUUGUACAGAGAGAAAUGUUGUUCGUAGUAAACAGAGGUCAGACCAGUCGAGUCCUGAAACAGGGGUAACUUUAACUAAUAAACUGUACUAAUUGGCCCAACCAAAAAUUCUAGAAAAAAUUUAGUAGAUAGGUAUAUGAGUCUAGAUUUAGGGAAAAUUUACGGAUCUUGAUUUCGAGUUUCGUAACUCAAGAUAUGAUUUUUCUUGUGACUAUGAGGCAAGUAGCUUAAAAGCUGUGAAUGUAGAAACAAUAAUCCAAAGUUCUAAAAAUGUUAAACUAAGCUUAGUAACACCUCAUACUCGACUCCGGCGAUGGUCUCGGGCGUGGGGGCAUUACAUUUAGUGGUAUCAGAGCAGGUUUAGUCAGUUCUCGAACUACGUGUUGUAUGUACGGAUUUUGCUAUACAUGCCAUAUGUAUGAAUUGUGAUAGUGUGACGACUUCUGACAUUUUUAAAAGAUUUUUAUAUAGUAAAUGGAUCCCGAUCCAGCUGUGACAGAUGAAGUAGAGAGUAAUGCGCCAGCUCCGGCUGAAGGAGCAACGCCGACUGAAAAUCCACCUCCUACUGUUGGUCAGGGAGGAGGAGAAAGGGGUCGGGAAGCCUUUCUCCAAAUGAUGAGUGCAUGGUACACUGAGUUCGUUCGUACGAACCCAAAUGUACGACCUCCCCCAAUUCCUCAACCUGUACCCCCGAUGCCUCAAGGUAUGAAUAUGAUAAAAUUUCACAGAACCCCUGUUGACAGAAUUCGUAAACAAGGGGCUGAAGAAUUUAGAGCAAAUAUUGAUGAUGAUGCAGAGAAAGCAAAGUUCUGGCUUGAAAAGUCUAUCCGGGUAUUUGAUGAAUUAUCUUGUACACCUGAAGAAUGUUUGAAAUAUGCUACAUCUUUGUUGAGAGAUUCAGCCUAUAAUUGGUGGAAGACUUUGAUUUCAGUGGUGCCGAAAGAGAGGGUAACCUGGGAAUUCUUUCAAGAAGAGUUUCAGAAGAAAUAUAUUAGUGAAAGGUUUAUUGAUCAGAAAUGUAAAGAGUUUCUUGAGCUGAAGCAAGGUAAUAUGACAGUCUCAGAAUAUGAAAGAGAGUUUGUUCGAUUAAGUAUGCUAGGGAAUAUGUUCCUACAGAAGCCAAGAUGUGCCGACGAUUUGAAGACGGGCUUAACGAAGACAUUAAAGUAUUUGUCGGGAUCCUUGAACUAAAAGAAAUGGUAGUACUGGUCGAUCGAGCUUGCAAGACUGAAGAACUACUUAAAGAAAAGAAAAAGGUAGAGGCUGAGACUAGAAAUUAGAAGAAAAGACCGAUGAGCGGUUCAUUUUCACAGCAACCUAGAAAGUCAAGGAAUAUGAAUCCUCGUUCCCAAGCUUCAGUUGGGCAAUCAUAUGGGAAUUAUAGGAAGCAAAAUGUGGGUCCUAAAUCCCAGACUACUUCGACAGCCAGUGUAGGGAACUCGAGAUUUGUUAAACCUGAGUGCCAGCGGUGUGGUAGAAAUCAUUUUGGUCCGUGUAGAGCAAAUGAAUGUUUUCGAUGUGGUUCUCCGGAUCAUUUUAUUAGAGACUGCCCAGAGAGAGCUGAAAAAGAAAAAUUUCAGAAUACAAAAGCUAGUGGUGCAGACUCGAGAGGAAGAUAUUCGGGAAAAGCUGGAAAUGAAGCAAGCAGCAAGAAUGUAGCCAGAGAUUCAGCAGCUAAAUCUGAAGUAAGGGCUCUAGCUAGAACUUAUGCCAUAAAGGCACGUGAAGAUGCUUCCUCACCUGAUGUGAUUACCGGUACAUUCUCUCUAUAAUGUUAAUGUUAUUACUUUGAUUGAUCCCGGUUCUACUCAUUCAUAUGUAUGCAUGAAACUGGUGUCUAGUAUGAAUAUACCUGUUGAGAACACAGAAUUUAUGAUUAAAGUGUCGAACCCGUUAGGCAAAUGCGUGAUAGUUGAUAAAGUAAACAAGAAAUGUCCUUUAAUGAUUCGAGAUCAUUACUUUCCGGCCGACUUGAUGUUGUUGCCGUUUGAUGAGUUUGAUAUUAUUUUGGGUAUAGAUUGGUUGACAUUGCAUGAUGCUAAAAUAAAUUGCAAAGAAAAGAUUAUAGAAUUAAAAUGUGGAAAUGGUGAAACUCUACGGGUUGAAUCAGAUAAAUCAGAGGCAUUAUCUAGUAUGAUUUCUUCGAUGUCGGCUCAGAGAUAUUUGAGAAAGGGUUAUGAAGCUUAUUUGGCGUAUGUAAUUAAUACAAAAGAAGUUGAAAAGAAAGUUGAAUCAGUGCCGGUUGUGUGUGAAUUUGCGGACGUAUUUCCAGAAGAAUUGCCGGGUUUGCCUCCGGUCAGGGAAGUAGAAUUUGGUAUUGAUUUGAUACCGGGAACAGCUCCGAUUUCGAUUGCUCCGUAUAGAAUGGCACCAGCAGAGUUGAAGGAAUUAAAGUCGCAGUUGCAAGAGUUGACUGAUAAAGGUUUUGUGAGACCGAGUUUUUCACCUUGGGGUGCUCCCGUGUUAUUUGUGAAAAAGAAGGAUGGUUCUAUGAGGUUGUGUGUUGAUUAUCGGCAGUUAAACAAGGUGACAAUCAAAAACAAGUAUCCGUUGCCAAGAAUUGGUGAUUUGUUUGAUCAGCUAAAAGGAGCGACAUGAUUUUCAAAGAUUGACUUGAGAUCUGGGUAUUACCAACUGCGGGUAAAAGAGUCGGAUGUGCCUAAAACUACUUUUAGAACAAGGUAUGGUCAUUAUGAAUUUUUAGUUAUGCCAUUCGGAUUGACAAAUGCUCCUGUUGUGUUUAUGGAUUUAAUGAAUCGCAUAUUUCGGCCAUACUUGGACAGAUUUGUUGUGGUGUUUAUAGAUUAUAUUUUAAUUUAUUCAAAAGAUAAGACAGAGCAUGCUGAGCAUUUGAGGAUAGUUUUGCAAACUUUGAGAGAUAAGCAGCUGUAUGCUAAGUUUAGUAAAAGUGAAUUUUGGCUCCGGGAAGUUGGAUUUUUGGGUCAUAUUGUUUCAGGUGAUGGUAUACGGGUUGAUCCUAGUAAAAUUUCAGCCAUUGUUGAUUGGAAACCACCGAAAAAUGUAACUGAAGUUAGAAGUUUCUUGGGGCUAGCUGGGUAUUAUCGGCGGUUUGUAAAUGGAUUUUCUAUAAUUGCUGCUCCUAUAACUAGAUUACUCCGAAAGGAUGUUAAAUUUGAAUGGACGGAAGAAUGUCAACACAGUUUUGAAGAAUUGAAAAAGUUAUUAACAGAGGCACCAGUGUUAGUACAACCCGAAUUAGGUAAAGAAUUUGUGGUGUAUAGUGAUGCUUCUCUAAAUGGUUUGGGGUGUGUGCUCAUGCAGGAAGGAAAAGUGGUGGCAUAUGCUUCGAGGCAGUUAAAACCUCAUGAGAGGAAUUAUCCUACUCACGAUUUGGAAUUGGCUGCGGUGGUGUUUACUUUGAAAAUUUGGCGACAUUGUUUGUAUGGUGAAAAAUGUCGGGUAUAUACCGACCACAAAAGUCUUAAGUACUUGAUGUCACAAAAAGACUUGAAUUUGAGACAGCGAAGAUGGUUGGAGUUAUUGAAAGAUUACGAGCUUGUUAUCGAUUAUCAUCCGGGAAAAGCGAAUGUGGUUGCUGAUGCUUUGAGCAGAAAGUUGUUGUUUGCUUUGAGAGUUAUGAACACUCAGUUGAAAGUGUCAAAUGAUGGUUCGAUUCUAGCAGAGUUAAGAGCAAGACCGAUGUUUUUACAAGAGAUUUCUGAAACUCAGAAAAAUGAUCAAGAUUUGCUAGCCAAAAGAAAACAGUGUGAAGCUGAUACGGGAUCAGAUUUUAGAAUUGGUGCUGAUGGGUGCUUAAUGUUUAAAGAUCGGAUUUGUGUACCGAAGAAUGAGGAAUUGAUUCAAAAGAUCCUACAGGAAACACAUAGUGGUUAUUUCUCGAUUCAUCCGGGUAGUACGAAAAUGUAUAAUGACUUGAAGAAAAUGUAUUGGUGGAAUGGAAUGAAAAGAGAUAUAUCAGAGUUUGUGUCCAAAUGCUUAAUUUGUCAACAGGUGAAAGCUGAACACCAAGUACCUUCGGGAUUACUUCAGCCUAUUAUGGUUCCUGAAUGGAAAUGGGAUCGGAUUACUAUGGAUUUUGUUUCAGGAUUGCCAUUGACUCCAGGAAAGAAAGAUGCCAUCUGGGCAAUAGUUGACAGAUUAACUAAGUCGGCUCAUUUUAUCCCGGUACGUACGGAUUAUUCUCUUAACAAGUUGGCUGAACUGUAUAUUAGAGAAAUUGUUAGAUUACACGGAAUACCAUUAUCGAUUAUUUCAGAUAGAGAUCCAAGGUUUACCUCGCGAUUUUGGCAAAAGUUGCAAGACGCGUUAGGUACGAAGUUAAAUUUCAGUACUGCUUUUCAUCCACAAACUGAUGGACAAUCAGAAAGAAUAAUUCAGAUUCUUGAAGAUAUGCUUAGAUGUUGUGUAUUGGAAUUUCAAGGAAGUUGGGAAAGAUACUUACCGUUGGUGGAAUUUGCUUACAAUAAUAGUUAUCAGACGAGCUUGAAAAUGGCACCUUAUGAAGCAUUGUAUGGUCGUAAGUGUCGAACGCCUUUGUAUUGGACUGAACUCAAGGAAAAUCAGAUUUAUGGAGUUGAUCUAAUAAAAGAAACUGAAGAAAAAGUGAAGGUAAUUCGAGAUUGUUUGAAAGCUGCUUCAGAUAUACAGAAAUCUUAUGCAGAUUUAAAACGAAAGGACAUUGAAUUUCAAGUUGGUGAUAAAGUAUUUUUAAAGGUGUCUCCGUGGAAGAAAGUCUUUAGAUUUGGACGAAAGGGCAAAUUAAGUCCGCGUUUUAUUGGGUCGUAUGAAGUAAUUGAAAAAGUUAGACCGGUAGCAUAUCGACUAGCAUUACCACCUGAAUUAGAAAAGAUUCAUGAUGUGUUCCACGUAUCUAUGUUACGUCGGUAUCGUUCGGAUCCUUCACAUGUAGUUUCACCGACAGAAAUUGAACUACAACCAGAUAUGACCUACGAAGAAGAACCGAUUAAGAUUUUAGCUCGAGAGGUCAAACAACUAAGGAAUAAAAAUGUUGCACUUGUGAAGGUGUUGUGGCAAAGGCAUGGAGUAGAAAAAGCUACAUGGGAAUCCGAAGAAACUAUGAGAAAUCAAUACCCACAUCUGUUUACAGGUAAGAUUUUCGAGGACGAAAAUCCUUAAAGGGGGGAGAGUUAUAAUAUCCCGAAUUAGGGCCUAAUCGGAAUAGUGAUUUCGUGACCACAAAUCCGAGAUAGAAAUAAUUAUUUUAUAAUUAUUUUGAGGUUUAUGAUAUGAUUGCAUGAUUGUGUGAAAAUUUCGUAAUGAAAUUCUAUGCCUAAAGUGCUUAAAUUGAAAGUAGGGACUAAAUCAAAUAAGUUGCAAAACUUGCAUUCCAGAAGUUUUUAGUAUAAAAUUGUUUUGGAAUAUUAAUGAGGAGGUCUUAAAUAGCAAUUUGACCAAUUUUAAGUUCAUGUACAAAAUUAGGACAUGGAAGGAAUUUUUGGAAAGUUUAGUAGUAAGGGUAUUUUGGUCAUUUAGUUAUUAAAAUGAAUUAAAAACAAAAUUAAAAGCCAAUUUUUGUCCAUCUUUUUCAUUAGGCCGAAAUUUCAAGGGUUCUACAUAGCUAGGGUUUGUUUCAAGCUUCCAAGCUCCAUAAUCAAGAAAGACGUGGAAUCGACCUCAAUCGAGGAAAAGAAAAGAUUGUGGACUAAAUUACAAAAUCUUUGUAUUUUGGUACCAAGGUAAGUUCAUGUGUAAAUAAUGUAGCAUAAUGGUUAUUUUUAAGUUAUUGAUGUUAAUUAUAUGUUAUGCUAAAUUUUAUUAUGAAAUGUAUGCUUUGUGGUUAAUUUCAAAUAAUAUGUAAAUUAUGUGAACUACUUGUUAAAUAUAAUUGUUACCGAGUAUUGAUUUCGGCAUUCUACGGAAGACGGCAAGGAUAAAUGUUCGAGAAAAAAGCCCGUUUGAACCUUAGGAAUAGAUUAGGAUACAAGUGACAUGUCACUAGGAUGGUUGAGCAUCCGAACUCAUUGAGUUGAGUCCGAGUUCACUUAUGGAUGCGAAUGUCCGAACUCGUUGAGUUGAGUCCGAGUUCGUGAGAUGUAACUAGGCAUCCGAACUCGUUGAGUUGAGUCCGAGUUCACUCAUGGAUGCGAACGCCCGAGCUCGUUGAGUUGAGUCCGAGUUCGCUUAUGGGCGGGUUACAUGAUUGCUUGAUUGAAUAUGUGGCACUUAUAUGCAAAUUAUCCAUGUAUCUGAAUUAUAUUCCGAUGUGUUUAACGGGUAAAGUUCUACUCAAUGGAGGAAUAUUCGAGAUGUAAAAAGAAGUAUUGGUGAGUGAUGUGAAAUGGAUAUUUUGGACAGGUAUGUAUUUAACCCUCGGGUUGAGUAUUGAUACAACCACUAUAAGGUAAUAAGAUGAUGAAAAAUGAUCAGAAAUGUGAUAUGUGUUUUAGUGAUGUAUGCUAAUGUUGAUUGGUAUAACUGUUUGUUAUGUUACUUAUUAUUUGCAUAUGAACUUACUAAGCAUUUAUGCUUACUCCCUCCUUCUUACUCAUUGUAGUUUUGGACAAGCCAGCUCAGGAGUCAGGAUAGGUCGAAGGCUCAGUCACACUAUCCGGAAGACUUUUGGUAAAUGGCUUGUAAAUUUAAGUAUGGCAUGUAUAGCAAUAUACCUAUUUUGUGUAAAUGAUCUUAUGGUAUGGUUGUGGAAUGGUUGAGGAAAUGCUUGAUAAUGAUAAAUUAUGAAAAUGGUUAGUGUAGAUUAUGUUUGAUGUUAAGGAAAACUAUUAAGAUACUUAAUGCAUAAAAACUCAUAAAAAGGAUAAAAUUUGCCAUAAACAGAAUACCGCAGCAACACUAAUGUGAGUUUGAAAAUUUAUUAAAAAUCAUAGCAAUUGAAUUUGGUGAUGGAAUACAUAUCAAAUUGAAGCUUAUUAUGUCUAGUUUCACAUGAGAUAAAUGAAACAGGUAAAGGAAUUAUAUGUUAGAAGAUAUUUGAAUUUUAGUAAAAUAGGGUCAUAGCAGUUUUUGAAUCCCCUGAUCUAACUUUAGAAAUUCAUUAUAAAUUAUAAAGAUAUAAUUAGGUGGUAUAUUUUAUAUCCUCAGAAUCCUUAUUGAGUCUAGUUUUAGUAGAAACAAAUCUCAUAGUCAUAUGAAUUUUUUACAGAGAGAAAUGUUGUUCGUAGUAAACAGAGGUCAGACCAGUCGAGUCCUGAAACAGGGGUAACUUUAACUAAUAAACUGUACUAAUUGGCCCAACCAAAAAUUCUAGAAAAAAUUUAGUAAAUAGGUAUAUGAGUCUAGAUUCAGGGAAAAUUUAUGGAUCUUGAUUUCAAGUUUCGUAACUCAAGAUAUGAUUUUUCUUGUGACUAUGACGCAAGUAGCUUAAAAGCUGUGAAUGUAGAAACAAUAAUCCAAAGUUCUAAAAAUGUUAAACUAAGCUUAGUAACACCUCAUACUCGACUCCGGCGAUGGUCUCGGGCGUGGGGGCGUUACACCACCCUUGAUAUUGCUAUAGGAAUUAAUGCAUAGAGAGAUGGAGAUGGGAUUGGGGAUUCCUCAAGGCUACAGCAGUAAAUUUAAGCCACGGUGUGGGAAAAGGUGAAAUGAGAGAUUUUAGACUAAAUCCAAAGCAUUAAUUUCUAUUAAAUGAAAACAAACAAACAAAUAUAAUUGUUAAAGAAACAUUAAUUUCUCUUAAAUCCGGUAAUAUUCGAACUAUUCCAUUAUUCAGUGCAUUCAAAGUUUCAGAAUAGAGAGAUGAAUACAAUUAGCAGUAGGAAGCAAAUACAGACAAUUACCACAUUUUCAGUCGUCGUAGCUAUAAACUUAGUUACUGAAUUCAUAAAUCAUGCCUGCCAUUUGCAGCCCAAAUACACACACACACACAUAUAUAUAUUUAAAAAAAGCAGCACUUUAUAGUGUUGGUUGCAACCAAAGAAAUUCAAACAUACCAUCAAAACCCUCCAAGAUGCAAGGGUUGCCAGAAUCUUCAGUGGCCUUCAAAAUUUCUGCUCGAGCUGCCAGUAAGCCAUAGUGCAAAUAACUGUACACAAGAAAGCCAUAAGUAUACAACUAAAAUAUAAAGAUUAUACAAAUGACUAAAUAGAGACCUGUUUGAUAAGACUGCUUAAGGAAUCACAAGCCAUUAAGAUUUCUCUUUAUAUUCAAUUUCAAAUCAUUAACAGAAUCUUAUUUUGUUAAAAUGGAGGGUACCUGUGUACAUAGAGGUAAUAUUUUGAUCCCUUGAGAUACAUUUCAUUUACAUAAUUGUCCUGUCCAGCUGGUAAACUUGGAGCUCUUGAAGCAGCAUUCUUGGAGAUGGCAUACGCCAUUUGAACAGAUCCACCACCAAGAUCAACUAUGCCAACUGUGUCUUGAUAUGUCCUUCCCAAAUUCCCUAGUAGGUAAUUUAUUGUCACCUAUAAAAGAAGAUGGAGGUUAAGAAAGUCCAAAUUAGGUCCAUUGGCUCCAUCAGUAGGAAAAAUUACAACGGAUCCUAGCCCUAACAGCACGUAAAUACUUUAUUCUAGUUUCCCUAAGUUACCCCAGAGAAACCCCUCGGAUUUCUCCAAUUGGAUCCGGCACCACCAUGAAAGCAUCUCAAGCAAGACUGAUCAUGUUGACCAGUUAUAAGAUUAAAAUAUCAAGCAGUCCUUGUACUUAGUCAAAAGUACAAUUUAAUCCACUUAGUCAAAAGUACAAUUUAAUCCACUAUAUUACAGAAUUGAGUCCUUCAAUCUUUUCCAUGUUUGACAUUGGAGAAAUAAGUAAAAUUGAUAGCAAUGUUAACGGGAAACCAUCUAAAAGCUAGCAUAGACCCCCGAAAUCUGACAAAAAUAUUGACCUCUAGAUGGAACUGAAGUAGCAACAUUUUUUCAAUUAAGAACAUACAUAUUGUCGGAUUUCAACUCAUGUACAACUCAUGUACUAUGUAAGAUUUGAGAAGAAAAGUCCACAUCAGCAUUUAAAUAAUUUUACAUCAAUAUUGUUAUCAAUUUUACUUGUUUGCGCCUAUAUCAAAUGUUUAAAGAUUAAAUUACUCGGUUCUAUAAUACAAGGAUUAAAUUGCAUUUUAGCUAUAAUAUAGGGACGCCAAGAUACUCUAACCCCAGUUACAGUAUGCAAAGUAAAAGCAAAGUAUAAAAGUACAAGAAAAUUCAGCAUAUCAUACCCACUCAUAAGAACCUUCUUGAGAGCCGUCCAGAAUUUUGACCCCAUUUGCCUCGGAUUUAAGGGUGCUUCUACUUUUCAAAAGUUCCCUAACCUAAAUACAUAUUUAAAUUGCACUAGCUUGAGGAAAUGGUAAAGUAAAUGCUGUGGCCAUAACAAACAUGUAUCCGAAAAUAAAAUUACCGAUUGCAAAUUUUAUCAAAUACCUCGCCUCCUAAUGCCCUCAGACCAGCAGUUGCCUACACAGAUAGCCCCAUUGUUCAGCAAAUUAAAAGGCUUAGAAUGCAUAACGCAUGAACAUAAUACCUACCCCAACUCUCACAACAGUCUUUGAUCGUAAAUCUAGCGGAACAACACUUUUUGCCUUGUCAAGAAGAGAAGUUAAUGAAUUUGCAGCAGCCUGUGGAUCUUUUGCAUAGUAGCUCAAACCUGGUUUAAGCUGCAGCAAAACAACCCACAUAAAACUAACUAAUACUUGGACAAAAACCUCCAUAAAAUUGAAGAAAAUGGUCCACAGCACACAAGUAAAAUGGUACCUUGAAAAGAGAUCAAAGAAUUGAUGUUUUGAACUCUUUUUUUUUUGUUCAAUUCAAGUAAAAUCCUUUUCUAGAGGAUACAAGUUAAAAUCCUACCUUACAAUAUUUGAGUCAAACUAUGUCACAAUUCACAAAUAUCAAAUAAAGGUCACAAUAUUCUCAACCCCUUUCAACUUAUGUUUAGAGGAAAGAAAAACAAAAACAAUAAUCAUACAAAUAAAGAUUACUAGUUGUCAGUUACUUUUGUUAGAAGUAGCUUUCUAGUGUCUAUUCGUCUGGAAUGUUUUUUAUUGAAUAUUUUAUGAAUUAUGUUAAAUAUUACUAUUUAAAUACACUUUUUUACGAAUUAUUUAUUUUUUCAACAAGUUUGACAAUUAAGGUUCCAUUUCCUCGAUACUUUUGCUUCUUAAAAUCUCGCUAUAAAGUAAACCUAAAAAAAGUUACGAUUGAUUAAAAAUGAACAAAAAAAAUUCAAAAUGUAACACUAAAAGUAACAUCAUGCAAUUUGUUAUCUAUCAAUGUUUAUUUAAUAAUACUUCAAAAACAUUGUUUCUCUUGUUAAUCUAGCGUACAGCAGACCAACUAGUUACCAUUAGCAAGUUUUAAAAUUACGAUCAAAGCAGGCGAGUAUCAGACUAACAUUUCAAAGGAAAAUAAUUUAGAAAAAGAAAGAAGGAAAUUGUAAAGAAAAGAAUGAGUUUAUAUAAGGAAAAAUAUGGUUAUUAGAAUCCUAUGAUUGUUGGAAUUGUGACCAUUCGAUGAUUUGUUACCGUUUACUUGAAAACGCGUCUUAUAGGGCGCGUUUUUACUCUGACAUGAAUAGAUAAAUUUCAAAAUUUUCGGCAUAUAUCAACAAAUUAGCCUAAUUAAAUGGGUAAAGAAAUUCUGCAGCUAACAGAAAAAAAAAAGGUCGACAAAUGUACGUACCUCUUACAAAACAAACACAAAAUUUCACCUCUGUUAACUUCCUCCUCACUUCUUAUUGUGUUUGCGUGAAUCGAUAUGACAAUUGAAAGCUCCCACUCUUUCUAAUUUACACAACAAUUCAUGUAAUAUUAUAAAAUCAUUAAAAAAAGUUGAUAAAGAAAACUGAUAACAACGGAAUAAAAAUCCCAGAAAGUGUGAGGACGAAGAAGAGAAAAUUUUGAAAAAAGAAAGGAUAUUUGGGAAGGAAGAAAACCGAGAAGCAAAAUCCCGAGAAACAAACAGAAAACAGUGAGAUUCAAAUAUUAAUUUAUAUAUAAAAUAAACAUAAAAAAUAAAGAAAAUACACUAACUCACCUAUCAGCUCUCCAAUGAAACAAAGAUGAACAAACCAAAGAACGCCAUCGAAAGUUAAUAUUAUAUAACCCCCCCAAAAAAGAGUUUAAAAUCAAUACAAAUACAGAAACCUUUAUUUAUAGUAGCAUUACAUUGAACAACUUCAAACUUCUUUUUCUGUGAUAAAAAAAACGUAUAUAUAAAACAAUAAAUGGAAACACAAUAAAAAGGAAAGCAUUACUAAGAUUUCCGACUUACCUUAAACGGAAAUUCAUUAGCCAUUGUUGAUCUUUAUCCAUUGCUACAUUCGCCAUCACUCGAAGAAAAAAAACACAAAACCCCUAACUUUAGGCUUUUCUUCGUUUCCCGCUCUUUGAAACAAAGAGAUGAAAAGAAGACAGGAAAAAACACUGACUCAGGUACGAAUAGUGGCAAAUUUGAAAACUCUUUCCAUGUUUGAUGCUCUCCCGCAGAGAUAUUUUAGGGUUUGGGUUUUUCAUUUUUUUUAAAUUGAAAAAACAAUUAUAUUUUGUUUGCUAUCCCCGGGUCUAGCCCAUAUUUCAAGAAUAUAAAUACUCUUCUUGGGCUACAAUCCAAUAGUGUCCAACCUAUUUGGGCCUAUAUUCGGUUGCAAUUUAAGUUUGAUCCAAUUAUACAUUAACAUUGAUUUAAUGUGUAAUUGUAUACAUGAAUUUUAAUUUGGUGCAAUUUAAGUUUAAUUCGUUGCCUUCUAUUCAACCAAUUAUGAUAAGUUGUUGAUACGGCAACGUAAAAAAUUGACAUUUGGCAUGCAUUUUUCAUAUCCUAAAACAUAAAAUGAAAAUUACACAAUACAACUAUUAUUAAUUUCUUGAUAAUUUUUUCGUAUUAUUACCGAUUUAACUAAUUAAUUUUGGAAAAAAUGAUUUUAAUGUGAAUUAAAAAUACAUAUUAAUUCCUAACUUGAAUAAAUUUUAGCAAGAGUUUAUUUUUAACUUGAAUUAAAAUUAGUCGGAUUGAAUUAAUUUUCACAAUAACUAAUAUGGAAACACAACAAAUAUGUUCUUAAAUUUAAUUAUGUUAUUCAUUUUAUAGAAGGGAAAAUAUCAAAUUUGCCAAGAAUUAAUUAUUGAAUAACCUAUGUUAUUAAAUAUUGCCAAAUUUUUAAUGUUAAUUAAUUUUUUAUUUACAUUAAGAAUUAAUUUUGACAUGUUUUAUACUGAUAAUUUGAUUUUUUUUUUUUUGUAAACUAUAAGAAGGACAAAAUCCUAACAACUAACAAUUUGAUUUAACUGGUGUUUUUAACCUUGCUUCACCAGGGACCAUGUUUUUAGUGGCAAUGUCAACAUUAAAAAAUGCUAAUACAAUUACAUAUAAAAUUUUAAUAAAUAUAAAUUAAAAAUUUAAAUACAAUUACAUAUAUAGGAUAUUAAAUAUUAAAUUAAAAAUAAUAUAAAUAUAUAUAUUAAAUUGGGUUUAGGUUAAGCCUUUUAUUAAUAUGGGAAUACUUAGAUAAAAUUUUAGGCUCAUAUAUUGAAUGAAGUGAGACUUGAAUAAAAAUAAAAUAUAUUAAUAUCAUGCUUAAAGCACAAUCAUGUUUAAGUUAAACAAUUAUGUUUUUUUAUUAAUAUAUAUUCAAUGACUUUAAAAAUUAGGGGUUUUAGUGUCCGGCAUGAGAAAAAGAAAACAUUUCAAAAAGAAAACGACCCCGUUUAAGUUAAAUUUCCAAUUAAAUUUAUAAAUACUUAACGUAAAUUUACUUAAACCUAAUGAUAUUGUUUUAAUUUUUUUUUGUAAAUAUAUUCAUGUUAUUUUCAUUUGAUAUUUUUUAAUUUUUUAAAUAUAAACAAGUUAAAUAUUUUUAAUUAUUAUUAUUUUUCUAAACUAUAAACCCUUAACUCUUAACCCCAAACCCUUACACCUUAAACUCCAACCCUAACCCCUAAACCCUAAAUUAUAAUCCCUAAACCCAUAAUUCAUCAUAAACCUUCAACUACUAGUUAAGUCCUAAACCUUAAACCCUAAACCAUAUAUCUUAAACCAUAGGUAACUCAAAAAUCUUAAACCCUAAACUAUAUAUCUUAAACCAUAAACCAUAAACUAUAACGAUAAUUAAUUCGAUAUUUUAAAUUCAAUACUAUCUCUUUUACGAUUAUAUAAGAAAAUAUUUAAUAUAUUGUAUAACCAUAAAUUUUAAUAAUUAUUGUUUUAGGGGUUAUAGAUUAGUGUUUAUGAUUUUUUUGGUUUAGGGGUUAUAUGACUUUUAGCGGCGUUUUGCCAAAAGCGCCGUUAAUGCUCUAGUUUUUAGCGGCGUUUUGCCAAAAGCGCAGCUAAUGCUUUGGUUUUUAGCGGCGUUUUGCCAAAAUCGCCGCUAAUGCUCUGGUUUUUAGCGACGUUUUGCCAAAAGCGCCGCUAAUUCUCUAUUUUUCGCGGCGUUUUUUACUAAAACGUUGCUAUUGCUCUGUUUUUAGUGGCGUUUUUGGUAAAACGCCGCUAUUGCUAUGUGUUUUACAAUUUUUACGGCGUUUUUUGAUAAAACGCCGCUAAAGCCCUAUUUUCCUGUAGUGAAGCUAUAAAAUUAUUGGUUCAUUCAAAACAAAGAUUUGGUAAUUCGUCUAUACGAAAACAGCUUUAAGCUAAAUAUUAUUAGGUUAUAAGCAUUACCAAAGGGGCUAAAAAGAAUAUUAUAAGCAGUGGCGUAUUGGGGCCUCCCGACUCAACAUAUAUAAUGGCCACCUUUUUUAGACAGAAUCAAAGGGCCUCAACUAUUGUUUCUUCUUUUAAUAAAUGAUUCAACACGCAAUGUAUAUCGGUUAAAAACAACAUGAAAUAUAUAAUAUUAAUAAAUUAGAAAAAAAAUAUUUGAAAAAAGAUAUUUUAUGUAUUUUUAGUUGAAUCAAAUGAUAUGACGUAACUUGGCAGUUUUGUUAUUUUAAUUUCUUCAACCCAUUUGAAUAUGAUCAGAUGAGAUUAAUUACGUCCACAAGUUAAUUGAGAUAUUAAUUUGAAAAAAAGGUAUGAAUUGAUUGACUCGGAAGUUGUUAGGGAACUAUAAAAUUAAGUUUUUAAUAUUUUUAUUUUUCAAAGAAUCUGAUUUCACAUCAUUUAAAAUUACAGUAUACGAAUGUUUAUUAUCGCCAUUUCAUUUUUAUGAGGCGAUUGUUACUAAAUUAAUUAUAAUUACGACAAAGACAAGCACACCUAUCGAAUAAUAGUAUAACUAUGUUGAGUAGGGAAUAUCGCAUCCACGAGGACUAAAAGUACUAGUAAUUACCGUUUUUCUAUUAUUUAGUCGAUAAAUUGAAGUGAUUUUUAAUCUAAAUUUACUAAUCUAAUUUAACUAUGAACGCAACAGAGAAUGAAAUGGAAAAAUAAUUGAAGACAACCAAUGAGAAAUACAAUAUCUAGGAAAGAAUCCCCCUAGGCUUCACCUAUUAUUUUGAAUUUGAGCUAAACGAUUUAUUCACUUGUAUCUUGAUCCGUAGAAAUCCAUAAAUUAUGUUAAUAUCUCUUUCGGGAGUAAAAACAACUGUCUCUAGGUUGAGUAAUUGAAAUCUCUUUCUAAUUAAAACCCCUAUCGUCGCAUUAACAUGAUUUAUAAAUUCCCUUAUUAGAUUUGACUCUAAUCCGGUAGAUUUAUGUCGUCCUAUUUCUAGGAUUGUAUGCAACUCCACUCAAUUAUGUUAGAUCUACUUUUAAAAAGGGACUUUUGCUCCACUGAAAUAAGCACAUUAAACUUGAAUUACUAUCUCAGAUAUAUUAAAACAAGAAAUAAGCAUUCAUAAUUGAGAACAAGAAUCAAGUAUUUAUCGCGUAAAUCAAAAAUCAAAUAAUAAGAUUCAUCAUAGGUUUCAUCUUCCCUAGGUAUCUAGGGAAUUUAGUUCAUAAUCCUGAAUAGAAACAUCUCAAAGUUAGGAUAACAACAAGAUAUAAAGAAACUCAAUAAAACUUCGAAGGAAAUUAAAUGGAGAUCUUUAAUCUUGAAGGAGAUCUGCUUCCGAGUUGAUUCUGAUGGCGUUCUUCGAGUGUUCUCUUCAAUCUUCUCUGAGUGCCCCCUUAAAUCUUCUUUUAAUUUGUUUUAAAGACUUUAGAAUGCUCAGAAUGCCUAAAAAUUGGGUUUUUUUGCAUAUUUGGGAAACAGGGUGCGAUAUUGACACGGGCUGACACAUGGGCGUGUGGUGUUGAUCAUUUUAUGAACCAAUAAACUAAACUACGAUCACGACUAAGGCAAGCGCACCAAUCGAAUGGUAAUAUAGUUGAGGUGAGUCCAGAAUAUCGUAUCCACAAGGACUAAAAGUACUAGUAUUGAUUUUCUUUCUAUUAUUUAGCCUAAAAUAUAAGGGGUUUGUUCUAAUUUAAAAUUAACUAACUAAUUAACUACUGCACGCAAUAGAGAGUGAAGAAAAUAAUCGAAUAAACCAAUAAUAAAGGCAAUACCCAAGGAAGAAUCCACCUAGACUUCACUUAUUAUUCUGACUCUGGAUCAAACGAUUUAUUCACUUGUCUUGAUCCGUAGAAAUCCCUAAUUUAUGUUAAUAUCUCUUUCGAGACUAAGAACAACUGACUCUAGGUUGAUUAAUCGAAAUCUCUUUCUAGUUAAAACCCUAUCGUCACAUUAACUCGUUAUAUGGAUUCCCUUAUUAGAUUUGACUCUAAUUCGACAGAUUUAUGUCGCUCUAUUUGUAGGGUUGCAUGCAACUCCGCUUAAUUAUGUGAGAUCUACUAUUAAACAGGGACUUUUGAUCUACUAAAUAAGCACAUCAAACUUGGAAUAAUAUCCUGAAAAUAUUAAAGCAAGAAUUAAUAACACAUAAUUAAGAACAAGAACAAGUAUUUAUCAUUAAAUUCAAAAUAUUAAAUAAUAAGAUCCAUCUUAGAUUUCAUCUUCCAUAGGUAUCAAAGGAAUUUAGUUCAUAAUAUAAAAGGAAGACAUCUUAAAUUUAGAAAAACAGCAAGACAUAAAAAACCCAAAUAAACUUCAAGAGAAUUUUGAAUGGAGAUCUUCAAUCUUGACGUGGAUCUACUUCUGAGACGAUUUCGAUGGCUUCCUUCGAGUAAUUUCUGCUUUCUGCUCUACGUCCCCCUUUAGGUCUGCUUCUAGUGUGUUUAUAUAGACUUUAGAAUGCUCAGAAACCCUAAAAUUUGGCUUUUUCUGCGUAUUUGGGAAACAAAGAGUUAUAUCAACCACGGGCUACCACAUGGGUGUGUGGCUAGCCCGUGCAUGUGUUCAGCCCUGUGGAAUUAGUCUUGGCUGUGUGGAUCUUUCAAUCAACCUGUUUUGUCCGUUUUUAGCCUGUUUGAUGCUCCUUUUGUUCCUUAUGCUAUCCUAAGUAUAAAACAUGAAAUUAAGGGAUUAAGAGCAUCUAAUUCACUAAAUUAUAUGAUAAACCAUCCAAAAAUAUGCUAAGUAUAGGAUUAAAAUGUGUUGCUUUUAUGGUUUAUCAUGUGGCCAGCCCAUGUGGAAAUGCCCAGGCUGUGUAGAUCUUGGAAACAACUCUAUUGGUCCAAUUUUGGCUCGUUUUUCGCUCUUUUCGCUCUUAAAUGCUCUCCUAAGUAGAGAAACAUGAAUUUAAAGGAUUAAGAGCAUCAAAUUCACUAAUUUACAUCAUUAAGCAUCCAAAAAUGCAUUAAGAAUGAGAUUAAGGGUCUGUUUGUUUAACUAAAAAUGAUUUUCGGAAAAUGAUUUCUGGAAAAUGGCUUACUUUUCUAGAAAAGCUAAUAUUUUCUGGUGUUUGGAUGAAUGUGUAAAAUAUUUUCUAUUGUUUGGCAGAGUUUCUGAAAAUAUUUUAUAAAAACUGUUUUACAUGAAAUAAACAUACAUUUAAGAAUUUAUUAUCUUAUUGUUUGAUUGAGUUUAUUUUAUAUCUAUUAAAUUUAUAUUUUAUGCAAUCAUUUAUUUAUAAAUAAAUACAUCAAAUAAAACAUUAAGAACCAGUGCCAAAGAAAGGGAUUCAAAGAGAAAAAAAUCAAUUACAAAAAGAAAUUCCCUAGUCUAAGAAAAUAGAUUACACAAGAAUAUGUAUACACAAGAAUACAUAGUUUAGACACAUAGUCUAUGCACAAAAGUCCAUAAUUCCAUUUCCAUACUAGUCAUUUACAUCCAACUACUGUGUAUGACUUACAACAAGAGAGGUAAACAGAGAGAUGAAGGAUACAGAUAACUAAAAUAUUUAACACAUACAAUUAUUCUUAUCAUCAAUGGGCACAUUUGGAUGGAAGAUAGAGAGAGCACGAGCAAACUCUUCGAAACCUAGAAUUCCAUUAUGCUUUGUAUCAAGCAAGUCAAAUAUCUACAGUGAAAUCACAAAUAUAUUGACAAAAACUCAAGCAAUAUUAUGCUAAUAAGAAUUGUUCUUUCAAGGAUGGAGACAUUAUUAAUUAACAUUAGAUAAAAAUACCCAAUCAACAAAUAAACUCUCCUAUUUGUUUGUUUCGAAUAACGCCAAUUGGAACUCCUCAUGUUAAAUAGUAAUAUAAAUAGAACUUAAAUACUAUAAAGAUGAAAAGGAAAGAACCAACUCAAGAAAAGGAGUAAUCAUCAAGCCAAAAAACUUGACAGACGUAACAAAAGAUAUCAAUUGUAUAACAAAAUGGGAACUAUGAAAAAAAAAGACCUUGUUGAUCAACCCAUCAUCUAUAACAACAUUGCUUAUAUUCUUGAAAAGCUCAUAAAGUGCUUCUAUUUCACUUACACUAACUGCAUGAAAAUGAGAAAAAAACAAAUUUCAGUAGAAUGACACAAGAACUAAAAUAACACAAGCAAACAUUGAACAAAUGAUAAAUCAAGCAAAAGCAUUUAAUUUAUCACAUAAGCAAUAUAGAAAAAUAUUUAAAAAGAAGAGAAAAAAAAUGAAAACAUACAAACGGUCUCUCUUGCAAGAAGUUUAGGAUCAACAAGACCUCUUAAUUGCUUGUACAAGUUAUUAUCACAUUAUUGCAGCACUGAAGCAAAUAAAUGCUUCAAUCUGUCUAUGCACUACAACAUGAUAUUCUUUUCACAUCAAUACACUCCAUACCUAGGCAACAAAAAAAGAGACCAAAAAUCCCAUUCAUGUCAUUCUUUCCAUACACUGAAUCAUUCUAAAAGCAAACAACAGAACUAACCUUUUAACCAUUUCCUGAUUAUGCAAAAGUGGUAACUUUGAGGUACAUAAGUGCUUUCAUAGAAAGCCCAGAUGUGUGGAUAAAGUGAAGUUUUGUGUUUCAGAACAAAUGUCACUUAGACCAAAAUCAUAAGUCCUUGUAGGUUCAAACUCAUGAGUCAUGACCACCCUUUGCCCCAUGAAGCAGAAAAUACUUGUGUACACUAAAAUGUUGUGUUUAUACAACAUUGUAAGGGGACAUUGGAUUUAAGUGAAAUUCUAAGACCUUAACUUUAAGUGAAGACUGAACACUCACUUAGAGUUAUAUCCACUUCUAGGCUGCAAGAUGUAACACCCCUUACCCGUAUUCCUUACCGGAACAGAGUAUGAGGUAUUACUAAAUUUUAAAAAUUUUCGACAGCAUUCCUACUUAUUUUUGCUUAAACCUCCUGCAAAUUUAGAACACAUUCCAAUAUACCAACCAAUUUCAUUUGUAUAAACACACAUAUAGUUUAACUAUUAAUAAACACUACAUUUAAAAGGGAACCAUAACAUAUAUUUACAUGAUGAUCCCACAUUACAUAAAGUGUCUAUACAUGCCAUAAAAUUUCGGAACACUAGUAGUAAAAUACCCCAAAUGUGAAGGAUAGUGUAGAUGAUUGUCUGACUUCGUUCCAAUUUCCGAGUUGUUGGAAGUCACUAUAACCAAGAGAAAAAUAAAAUCGAGUAAGCAUAUAGCUUAGUAAGUAAACACAUGAUAAAUAAGUAAUUACUCCCAUAACUACACCAAAAUAUAAACUUAUUCAUGAAUAACUUUAUUGUUUAGGCAAUUUCCAGCAAGCUGUUUUUCUGCGUCAUAGUCGCUAAUUUAUUUUUAACUGGAGCUACAGGGAUCCAAAUUGAGUUCCGUAAAUUUUCCCUGAAACUAGACUCAUAUACCAUUUCACCAUAAAAAUUUCAGAAUUUUUAACCCAGAAAAUUAUUACAGUUUAUUCAUUAAACCUUCCCCUUUUUCACUGCCCAACGGUUCUGACCCUUCCUCACUAAAAUUUACUUAACUCUCUGUACAAAAUUUGAAAAAUGGUUUUUCUUGUUUCUAAUAAAAAUAGACUCAAUAAGGAUUCCAGGGAUAUAAAUUUCAUGCCAUAAUUAUUUUUUUACAAUUUUUGGUAAUUUUCCAAAGUUAGAACAGGGGAUCUCGAAAUCAAUCCAGUCCUGUUUCAGUAAAAUUCAGAUAUCUCCAAAAAUACAACUCCUUUGCUUAUUCUAUUUCUUUCAUAUGAGAAUAGAUACAUUCAACUUCAAUUUCAUAUAUUAUUCAGCUUCCCAUUCAUUUCCACCAUUUAUGGUGAUUUUUUCAAAGUUACCCAAUUACUGUUGUUCAACACAGUUUAUAAUUAAAUCGUUCCUUUUGCGUUUUUUAUAUUUUCUCCCAUCUCAUACAUGGGUCGAUUUAGUAUUCAACUCAAUAUUUACCCCAUAAAAUUUUCCACCAUAUGGCAAUAUUCAUCUUCCACACUUUUUUUUUUGUUGAACACUCGGAAUGUUAGCCGUUAUUGGUGGAUCCCGCACUUAGCACCACCACUGAAUCGGGGAAUCAGCACAUAGCAACCCCUCGGGGGAAUCAGCACAUAGCAACCCCCUUUUUAUUUCAAAGAUAUGGUGGAUAUCGCACUUAGCACCACCAAUGAAUCGGGGAAUCAGCACUUAGCAACCCCUCGGGGGAAUCAGCACAUAGCAACCCCCCUUUUCAUUUCAAAGAUAUGGUGGAUAUCGCACUUAGCACCACCAAUGAAAUCGGGGAAUCAGCACUUAGCAACCCCUCGGGGAAUCAGCACAUAGCAACCCCCUUUCACAUUUCAAAGAUAUGGUGGAUCACGCACAUAGCACCACCCAUAAAUCGGGGAAUCAGCACACAGCAACCCCUUUUAUAUACAACAUACUACGGCUUAUUCCGAGUGUUCAACCCAUAACCCAUAUAUUGCAACCCUUUAUCACCUUUCCCCAUUUAACAACAUUUUUAGGAUAUUGCCAAACAUUUAUUUUAAUUCCAAAUAAAUCUCAACAUAUAUCAAAUAAUAUCAAAAUAAUACAUUAAGUCACGUGUUUACUUACCUCGGUGCAAAAUAUCGUAAUUUUGCACUUUACUCCCCUAUCUUUUCUUUUCCCCGUUUGAUAUACUCUUCACGUCUUUCUUGAUCUAUAAUAGCAAAUUUAACUCGUUUAAUAUUCACAUUUAUUAAAAUAAUCCACCACCCAACUUUUUGAAAAUUACAAUUUUGCCCCCAAACUUUUGCAUAAUUACACUUUUGUCCCCAAGCUCGGAAAUUAAACUUCAUCACUUAUUCUUAAGUUUUAUAACAUGCUGAACAUUUUUCCCUUCUAUGGAAACAUCAAAUUCCCACUCCAACACAUACUUUUGAAUAUUAAUUAUUUUUACCGAUUAUGUCUAUUUACCCGUUUUCGCUUAAAAUUGCUUAGCAAAAGUUGUUUAACAUAAUCUCUAGCUUCAUAUUCCACCAUAAAACAGCAAAAUAAACACAUUUCACCUAUGGAUAUUUUUCCAAAUAUGAACCCUAACAUGAAUUAAUGGUAGAAUAAGCUAAACCAAGUUACCGGGACUCCAAAAAUACGAAGAACAUUAAAAACGGGGCUUAGAAUCACUUACUAUGGAGCUUGAAAGCUUUAAAACCCUAAAUAUGGCUUCCCCCUUGCUGAUUUCGUUCACCAUGAAGAAGAUGAGCAUAUUUUGUCAUCUUUUUCCCAUUUAAUUCUAUUUAAUAACCAAAUGACUAAAAUGCCCCCAUUUAAAAAAAAUCUAUUUCACCCAUUUCUUAUGUCUAUUUUUGUCCAUCAACUAACUAAUGGUCUAAUUACCACAUAAAGACCUCCAAUUUAAAAUUUCAUAACAAUUAGACACCUCUAAGAUGUAGAACUCAACUUUUGCACUAUUUACAAUUUAGUCCUUUUGACUAAAUUGAGUGCCCAAACGUCGAAAUUUUCGAACGAAAUUUUUACGAAAAUUUUCCGUGAAAUUGUAGAUCAUAAAAAUAUAAUAAUAACCAUAUUUUCCCUCGUCGGAUUUGUGGUCCCGAAACCACUAUUCCGACUAGGCCCAGAAUCGGGCUGUUACACAAGACCUCUGGUGCCAUCCUGAAAAGAAAGGAUAAAUAGGAAUAUCAGACUGUGGAAAUUCAAAGAAAAAAUAAUUCUAUCAAUGGCAUCAGAGUACAUAAGAAGAUGAAGAAAAGGGUAAUAGUUGGACAGAUUUGACAAAAAUAGCUCACCAGUAAGGAGUUCCAAUGAAGGUAUUUCUAGAACGUUGCCUAUUUCCUGCAUCAAACAUGCAAGUUGAAACACCAAAGUCAGUAAGCUUUACUGUGCCAUUGUUAUCAAGCAAUAUGUGUCCAGCCUGUAAUGCUAAUUAAAAAAAACUUAUUAAAUAAAAUAAUGGUGAAUUCAAUCAGAUAACAUAAUGCCAACUUUUGUGAGGCACUGAUCUUAACAUCGCUAUGAAUAUGUUCUUGUCGAUGAAGAUAAUCCAGAACUUUAAAUGUUUCUUUCAGAACAAAACCAAUAGUAGGCUCUUCGAAACCAUCUGGAUAUGCUGACUUCAUGAGGUACAAACAUGAACCCUCUAACAUGAAAGGCAAGACUUUCCAAAGAUUAUGGUUAACCACAAAAGAACAAUAUGCCCGAAUAACAUUUGAGUGAUCAAUCAAACUCAUUGUUUGAGCUUCCCAACAGAUAUCAUCCUGCAAAAUAGCAUUAAGAAAGCAUGUUAAAAGCCAAUAGAUCACAUGAAGAGCAGAAAAUAUGGAUCUAAAUAUACCACUCAUGAUACUACCAAUUAUUAAAACCUCUAAACAAUAUCACAAAAGAUCCCAUUAGCCAAAAAUAAUUUUUGGUACACCUACUUGAGUGAUUGUAUUACCACCAAAAGUAGAAAAUUCCUAUAGAAUGAUCAAUAGUAAUGAAACAAGCAAGCAUACAAGAUGUUUAGUACACAUGAACUAGAUCUAAGGCCUGGCCUGGAUUGAGAGGAAACUAGGGAAAGGAAAAGGAAGGUUUCUAGUAUAAUAUUGUGUCCCUUAUUUAGAGAACAUUUUAACAUGAUAAAAUCUCACCACAAGCAAGUCUGAACUAAAAGAAACGAGCUUCAAUAAUAAAAAGUAAGAAUAUCAGAAUUUUAUUCAACUCGACCAAAAGCAAUCACUGAAAUCCACAAUCAAAUCAAAUUCCCACCGGCAGAUGCAUCGAUCAAUUGCCUAGUUGAGGGGUUCAAACCGUUGUAGAAAGUUUGAACCUAUAGCCAUAAAGGUAACCCAUGGUGAGAACACCUUUUCAAUAAAUCUUUAUACCUCUCCCAUGUAUCAUAUAGAGUAUUUAGAUCCAUUUGCACGAAGGAAGAGAUAUCAUUCCUCAGCUUGACUGUCUUAGCCAAUGAAAAGUACUUCAACAAGAAUUUUUCAGUCAUUUGUUCCCAUGUAGUGAUAGAACCUCGUGGUAGGGAGUUCAACCACUGUUUAGCCUUACUCUUCAACGAAAAGGGAAACAACCGAAGGCGAAUGGAAUCAUCAGAAACACCAUUAAUUUUAAAAGUGUUGCAGAAUUUCAAAAAAUUAGCCAAAUGAGUAUUUGGGUCUUCGUCCUGCAAACCAUCAAACUGAACAAACUGUUGAAUCAUUUGAAUAGUGUUAGGUUUCAGUUUAAAAUUAUUUGCAGCAACAGCAGGUCUAGCAAUACUCGAUUCAGCCCCAGUUAAAUUAGGCUUGGUAUAAUUAUACAUAGUACGAGGAGCAGGCUUCGAAUUUACAGGAUUUACAGCAACCACAUGAGGUAGCUGAAUAUUAUGAUUUUCUGCCAUCUCCUCAGUAUUAAUAACAACGUCCUCUUGCUUUUCUAUUGUACUCUGUCGACUCUGCCUUACUUCUCUACAGUUUCUGCGAGUUGUACUUUCGAUCUCAAUCUCGAAUACUAGAGGUCCUGACGGGUUUCUUCUAGUUAUAAACUAAAGGAACCUGCCAGAAGCAAAUAAAAGAAAAGUUAGUAAAUUAAAGUAAAAAUAAAAAACGGCUAAAGUAAUAAAAAUUAAGUGUUCCUAAUAUUUUAGUUCCUGGUAACGGUGCUAAAAACUUGAUGACGUCACGAACUAACUAAAAUGCGACAAAGGCAAGCACACCUAUCGAAUGGUAGUAUAAGUACGGUGAGCCGGGAAUAUCGUAUCCACGAGGACUAAAAGUACUAGUAAUCACUAUCUUUUUAUUAUCUAACCUAUAAAUUGAAGGGUUGUUUUUAAUCUAAAAUUAAACUAAACUAACUACUAAGCAACAGGGAGCGAAUUGGGAAAAUAAUCGAAGAAAACUUAUGAGAGAGACAAUACCCAGGAAAGAAUCCACCUAGACUUCACUUAUUAUUCUAAAUAUGAAUUAAACGAUUUAUUCAUUUGACUUGAUCCGUAGAAAUCCCUAAAUUAUAUUAAUAUCUCUUUCGAGAAUAAAAAUAACUGACUCUAGGUUGAUUAAUUAAUAUCUCUUUCUAAUUAAAGCCCCUAUCACCGCAUUAACUCGAUCUAUGGAUUCCCCUAUUAGAUUUGACUCUAAUCCGGUAGAUUUAUGUCGUCCUAUUUCUAGGAUUGCAUGCAACUUCACUCAAUUAUGCUAGAUCUACUCUUAAACAGGGACUUUUCCUCCACUGAAUAAGCACAUCAAUUAUGAAUUAAUAUCCUAAAAACAUUAAACAUGAAGGUAAGUAAACAUAAUUGAGAUCAAGAACAAAUAUUUAUCAUGUAAUUCAGAAAAAUCAAAUAAUAAGAUCUGUCAUAGGGUUCAUCUUCCCUAGGUAUUUAGGGAAUUUAGUUCAUACUUGGAAAGGAAAACAUCUCAAAAAUAGGAAAACAACAAAACAUAAAGAAACCCAAAAACUUCUAAAGAAAUUGAAUGGAGAUAUUCAGUCUUGAAGGAGAUCUUGCUUUUGAGUUGAGUUUGUCGGCCUUCUUCGAGUAAUUUCUGCGUUCUACUCUGCGUGUCCCCUUUAGAUCCUCUUCUAAUGUGUAUUUAUAGACUUUAGAUUGCCUUUUUCUCCGUAACAGGGAAGCCGAGUGCAAAAUCGACACAGACUGGCACAUGGGCAUGUGGCCAGCCCGUGUGGAAAUGCCCAGGCCAUGUGAAUCUUGAAAACAACUCUUUUUGCCUGAUUUUGGCUUGUUUUUCGCUCCUUUCACUCCCCUAUGCUCACCUAAGUAUAGAAACAUGAAUUUAAAAGAUUAGGAGCAUCAAAUUCACUAAUUCAUAUAAUAAAUCAUCCAAAAACGCAUCAAUAAUGGGAUUAAAAACAUGUUACUUUUAUGGCUUAUCUGAAUGCCUGCUGAAUUGCUUCCUUGUAGUUUUAGUACAUUGUAUUUUUCCUGCAUCCCCAAUAGCUAGUAGUUCAAUUUUUUUAGCUGUUUGAAAAUUUUAUCAUAAUGUAAUAGAAAGGUCCUGAAACGAGAUGAUUGUGAAUUUUCAUUCCAUUGGCGUUGUGGGUGGCAUUGUUGUUAUUGAAUGCAUUACAGGGCCCUUGGUAACCUCUCUGAUGCCAUUUUUCAUUAUAAUGUCUUCUGGUUUUAGAGGGUUGCAUUUCAUUGUCUUCUUAGUGUUAAAUACUUUGCAUCACAACUGUAGGUAGAAGCACAUUCGGAUUGAAAGAAAAAGACCCAAAUUCAGGAGAUGGUAAAAGACAAGGUUGAGGGAGAAAGAAGAUGAAGAGAAAAGAAAGAAGAACAAGAAAAAAAAGAAAGAGGUUGAAGGAGAAGAAGAUAAAGAGAAAGAUGAGAAGAAAAAGAAGAAAGACACAGAGAAAGGCCAAUUGUCUUUUCUUUUCUUUUUGACUCUUUGACUACUCAUUUAACGUGACAAGUUAAUUGGCCUAAUUAGCUAAUUAAUUGGCUACUUCAGCUAUCCCGUUAAGCCUAUGACGGAAAAUGUUAAUGAGUUAUUAAUUUGUCACUUUUUAAUAAAGUUAGUGACUGUUUUGUUAUUUUUUUAAAGUUGAAUGAAUGAAAUAAAACUCAAGUGAUUGUUUUGUCAGCUACCCAAAAUUGAGUGACUGUUAAUAAAAUUUACCCUAAAAAACUAUAAUAUUUUAUUAAUAUUAUAAGUAAAGUAUGGUCUUUUUCUACAUCCGAUUUUAUUUUAACAACAUCAUAUUAAUUAUUUUUAUCUAUAUCUAUUGAAAUGCAAUAACUUGAUGACAAGUUAUUAUCCAAUUAUUUUAUAUUAUAUUCCAAGUUUUCAAACAAUGUGAGCAAUGCUAGCUUCCAUCAAUAAAAUAAAAGCCAUGCAUACCUAUUCACUACCAUGUGAUAUGCAGCAGCCAAUAUUGACAUUUGUACUCAACAAAGGUUCAUUUCGUCAACAGCCAAAAUAUCACUGCCACAACACACCUUCUAGAUAGGAUUAAACAAAUUUUCCCAAUUGUAACUUACCCAAGGCAUAAAUAUAAAAUCCUACUUAGAUUACUUUCUUUUAAAUUGAUUUUUUACUUAGAUUACUUUCUUUUAAAUUGAUUUUUUUUGUCAUACUUAAACUAUAUUUCUUACUUAAAUUAUACUCCAUUAAUUAAAUUAUUUCAGUCAUUAUAUAAUAAAAAAAUUGUAACGUGAAACACAUUUUAACUAAAAUAUUCAAAAAGAAAAUUUAAGUAUUAUUUUUUAAAAAAAAUUAUAAACAUAUUCAUCUCUUCAAUUUUUCACUCAAAAUCUUCAAUAUCAAAAAUUCAAGAACUCAUUGAAACUCAUCUAAAUUCAACUUUCGAUGAUAAAACCCAUAUUUUGACGAGCUUCUUUUCUAUUUAAGUUUUUAAAUCUCUAUUUUGAUUCUUUUCUCAUAUAGAUUUAAAAUCUAUGGGAAGCGUAAAAAUAUAUAGAAUUUUUCAGCACAUUUUGAGCUCUAAUUCAUGUAGUUUUGUAGUAAAUUUUGUCGAAAUUCACACUUUAAUUAUAGAAUAAAUAAUUUGUACUUAAAUUAUUAACAUAUUGAAUUUUAAUUAUUUUUAUAAUAAAUUUUCACAAAUUUAGUUUAUUUUCGACAAUUUUGCACAAAAGGUAAAAACUGGCUCGGCAGACACCUCGAAAGGCUUGAAACGUUGGGGAAUUUUUGCAUCAAGUGAACCAAGAGCAAGACUGAAUAUUUUUUCAGCCAAGGACGGUCCAAAUGAUGAUUAUUUUAUGUACUUUGUAUUUAAUUUUUAUCUAACUUAAAUUGGGUUAAAAAUUAAAUAAAGCCUGAAGGAGAAAGUGACCCAAUGUGCUAAGCAUUGAAGACUGAUCCAACAAGAAAAUUGGCAGCCCAAAACCAUCCCAAUCAGCUUAUUUAGCUGAUUUAAUUACUUGCAUAACAACCCUCAAAGUUUCCUUAAACUCCAUUCAAACCCCUCCACUUUUUGUGCCUUUGAAGAUUUGCCCCAAGCUACAUUUAGCAAAGUUUGAAACAUUCAAACUUGCUUGUUGUAUGGCCAGCCAAGGAAGAGUGUAUGACUCCUAAUUAUUUGUUAUUUUUAGCAGCUUCAGACCUAUAAAUACUCAUCUUUGCUACUUCAUUCAACACACCUCCCAUCCCACACAUCUCUCUCUCUUUCACUCACUUUCUCUUCUUGUUUUCCAUUUUUUUCCUUUCUACUUUCCUUUGCCGAUUUUUCUUUUGGAAAAGAGCCUUUCAACCACCUUGGGUAGCAACAUUCAAGUGCUUAUAGAAGUCUUGGAACAACAAGAACGAGCAGAGAAGGAGAGGAGCAAACUAGUCUGGCUUCGGAGAAACACUAGAUUUUAUUCUAGUUUCCUAUCCUUUAACUUUUCUUGUUGUUGUUAUGAACAUGUCUAUAAGUAUUUGUUAUGUUGUUUUUCUAAAUUUAAUUAACAUGGCUUAAAUUUAAUUCGUGUAAUGUUGAUUGCAUUUCAUCUACUUAAGUUAUUAAAAUCAUGUUUGUGUUGUUAUAGGUCUUGAUAAAUUGUUUGAUUAAGUAAAACCAUGAUUAUGUUAUAUACUUGCAUUACAAUUGUAAGGUAACUAAUGAAUUAAUUAUUAAUCGUAUUUAAAUUGUAAUUAAUUGACACAAUACUUAAUCAGUGCAUGUUUAAUCUUCUAAGGUAGCUGAGGGUUAAAUUAGCGACGGUAUUAAACGGUAUAUUAGCCUUGUAUAACUUGCAAGAUUAUUGUGAUUAAACUGUUUCAAUGUAGGAAUAUAUUGUUACUUCACUUAAUCUUUUACUUGCUUAUUUAAAUUGAUUAAUUAUUUGAAUUGGUUUUGUAAUAUAUUCAAGAGAUUAGUUAAUUUAGUAAGUUUGUAUGUGCUAUAGUUAACAAAUUACUAAGUUGCCAUUAAUUUAUUCGUAACAACAUGAACAUUGUCUUGAUAAUAUUAAGUUAAGAAAUGUAAUUGAUCUAACACAAUUAUGUCAUAUUGAUUAAAAUCAUCUUUUGAAAUUAUGCUUUGGAAUUUUUACCUUUUAAUUUUCUUAGUUAAAAUAUAGUUUACUAAACCCUUUUCUUUCAAAACAAAAGAUUUUCCUUCACCAAAGUGUUUUUAUUAAUUGCAUUUCAUAAAUAUUUUCUUACACAGUCCUUGUGUCACUUUAUUACUUAUUGCGAUUGUGUACACUUGAACAUUUUCAUCGUUCCAUCUAUGUAUUAUUUUUGUUAAAAAUAACUUUUUCUAUUCUUUUCUAUAUACUUUGCAUAAAAUAAUUAAGGGUCCAUUUGUUUAGUAGGAAAACAUUUUCUGAAAAAUGUUUUCCUGAUUUUCUAGUGUUUGUUUGCUUGAAAAUAACUUACAUUGGUAAAAAAUUUUCAGAAACACGGGAAAAUGAUGAGGGAUUUUAAGGAAAAUGUCUUACCGAUUUUAUUUCUGUAAGACAUUUUCCAAAAAAUCUUCCUCCACUUUCAUCAUCUUCUUUCUCCUUCUUCCGUUUUCUACUUCUUCCUGUUCUUCAUCUUUUAUUUCCGUUUUUCCUUAGCUGUCUCCAUCGUAUAUCUUCUCUUCUCAGGGCUGCUGUUUCGUUUUACUCUAAUAUUCCUCUUCGCAGGAUCUUGGCUUAAGGUAUGGCAUCUUCUUUAUCUUCAUUUAAAAGCUCUUUUCUUUCUUCUUGUUCUUUACUUGUCCACAUUUUAACCGAUAAUUUUGGAAAUUCCCUAGAAUUUUGAUUUAAAUUUUUAUACUGUUGAAUACCCUUUUGUUCUUUGUGCUGAAUUAGUGGUGGGUUUUAUCUGAAAGUGAAACAGCGUUGGUUAUACAAGUUUCUUUCGGUUCGUAUGCCUAAAAUUUUAUGCCUUUCAUUGUUUCUUUAUUUUAAUUUUUUAGUGAAUUACAUGUUCAAAUUUUGAACAUAUUAUUCUAUAUGUUCUUUCCUACUCCGGAGGGUAACUAUGUCCUCUGACUUUCGAGAAAAUAUAUUUCAUGUAGGAGGAGAAGGAACAAUCCCUAAGGCAGGUUAAACUACCUUAACCUGCUUCCCCCUUCCAAACUGUCUACUCUAUUUGUUCUUUAAGGAUUUCUUUCUGUUAGGAUUUUAACCCGGUUAAGUAACGAACAAGAAAAUAGUAGAAUACAUUGAGAAAUUGAACACACAAAUUUAACGUGGAAAAACCCCUCCAAAGAGGAUAAAAAACCACAGACAAAGAUAAUUUUACUAUAAUGGCAAAAGAACGAAGAGUACAAAAGAUGGAGAUAAAAACUAAACCCCGAAAACAAAGAACCCACAAAACAUAAACACAAAAUUCUCUAAAUGUGUUAUGAGUUCUAAUCUCUAAUGGGUGUAUUUUCUAAGGUUGUAAAAGAGCCUAUUUAUAGGCUAAAUUCAUAGAUUAAAUAAUAAUAAAAUAAUCCAAACUAAUCAGUGUUUGAUUGAAACAAGUAAACAGAGUUUAACUGAAAGAUUAUUUUUCAAAUUUGACUGAAAAUAGGAGUCAUAUUUAACAAAUCUCCACCUUGACUCAUAUUUUCCAUAACGCCAUAUUUGCCAAAGCCCGCCAUGAGCCUAUCUUGAACUAUGCAGGGAAUUAACUGAGUCGAAUUUGUGCUUAGAAACUGGAAGACUUCUAGCCUUCGACUUGUACACUGCCAAAUCAAACUAACCCGGGUCUGAUUUUCACGAACACAGUGCCCUAACUUUUCAAAACCUGCAUCCAAAAGAAAACCUCUCUUCAACGAAACAGUCAUACCUUUUUCCCUCUAUGACCAAGUUGCCUCCGCUUCAAACAAGUUGACUUCAACUCCGUAACGGACGAGGGACGUCCGAUUUCACCGGUCACUGUAUAACUUUCCAGAGUAUAAAGACUGCCGGUUCUUUUAUCUUUUAACAAAACGAGAGCUCCACGAGAUACUUUAAUACCACUCGACUCGAUGUUGAUUUUGCAUCCUUUCAAGUCUAAAAUACUUAAGGAGAUGUGAUUCUUUCAUAAAUCAGGUACAUACCUAACAUCUGAGAGUGUCCUAAUCAUCCCAUCGUGCAUCUUAAUUUUAACAGUACCAAUACCAAUUACCUUACUAGAUGAAUCGUUUCCCAUGCGCACAACUCCACCUUCAAUUGAACUGUAUGUGGAGAACCAUUCUCUAUUGGGACACAUGUGGAAAGAACAUCCUGAAUCUAGGAUCCACUCGGACGUGAGCUUGGUGUUAUCACUUGUUGACACUAACAAGAAAUCAUCUCCAUUUUCACCGGCCAAAUUAUCACCAGCUACAUCUUCCUCGUUACUCUCAGCAGCUUUUUUAUUUCGCAGUUUAUAACAAUCUGCUUUGACGUGACCUAACUUUUUACAAUAGCGACACCUUUUAUCUCGUUUCUUUGAUGCUAUCAAAAUGGAAGCUUGCCUAUCUGUCUUGCUAUCCAAAUGAAGCUCAUUGUCGAGUUUGUUUCUACUCAACAAAUGACCCUUCACAUCUUCGAACAAGAGUUUGUCUCUGCCAUAAAUCAGGGUCUCCCUGAAAGACUUGUAUGAAUGGGGUAAAGAGCACAAUAAUAGCAUAGCCUGAUCUUCAUUGUUAAUAUGAACCUCAACAUUCUUUAAAUCAUUUAAAAGAGUAAUGAAUUGACUGAUGUGAUCUCUAAGAAGCUCACCUUCGUUCAUGCGAAACGUAAAUAGACGUUGUUUCAACACUAAACGGUUAGCCAGAGACUUAGUCGCAUAAAGAGUUUCUGACCUUUUCCACAAGGCAGAUGAGGUCUUCUCCAUCAAUACCUCCUGCAAUACUGUAUUCGUGAGGCACAACUGGAUUGCAGAUAAAGCCUUUUCAUCAAGCUCUUCCCAUUCUGUUUUAUUUAGAUUCUCAGGCUUUUUCCUGAUAACAACCUUUUUCAAGCCUGAUUGAACUAGAAUUGCCAUCAUCCGAACCUGCCACAGAUUGAAAUUUGUCUCACCAUCGAACUUCUCAAUUUCAAACCUUGUUGUUACCAUCUCUGAACGGGCUAAUUUAUGAAAAUUGAACUAGUUCUGAUACCACUUGUUAGGAUUUUAACCCGAUUAAGUAACGAACAAGAAAAUAGCAGAAUAAAUUGAGAAAUUGAACACAUAAAUUUAACGUGGAAAAACCCCUCCAAAGAGGAUAAAAAACCACAGGCAAAGAUAAUUUUACUAUAAUGGUAAAAGAACGAAGAGUACAAAAGAUGGAGAUAAAAACUAAACCCCAAAAACCCGAAAACAAAGGACCUACAAAACGUAAACACAAAAUUCUCUAAAUGUGUUAUGAGUUAUAAUCUAUAAUGGGUGUAUUUUCUAAGGUUGUAAAAGAGCCUAUUUAUAGGCUAAAUUCAUAGAUCAAAUAAUAAUAAAAUAAUCUAAACUAAUCAGUGUUUGAUUGAAACAAGUAAACAGAGUUUAACUGAAAGAUUAUUUUUCAAAUUUGACUGAAAAUAGGAGUCAUAUUUAACACUUUCAACCUGUAAUUACUAUUGCUGCUGUCCUAUGUUUUAUUGGUGAUUUGAAGAUCAUUUAUUUCCCCCACUAACAUGAUUCGGAUCAUCCAGCUAUUGAUUAUUGAUACUGCUUUGUCCAGGAUUAGAGCUGGUCUGUGUCAUUAAAGGAAAGUUUGUUGUUCAGUAUAGCAAAUCUCUUCAAUGAUCCAGGAUUUUCUACUUUCAUGUCUUAUUGCAGUCACUAUCCUUCCUACAAGCUUAGUCUACCUUAUCAAGUUUAGAAUUUCUGAUAGAGUCAUCCUUAUUGAUACCUGAAUGAGCUCUAUUACUUCCAUCACCAGACUCCUCUGUUAAUUCCUUUGCAUUCUUAGAUACAGGGACCCUUUCCUUAGGAAGCAAAAUCUUAGCAGCAUCUGCUAUCUUACUCGUGGAGUUCCUGGAGAUGUGACCAAAUAUUCUUUUCAGCAUCUGCAUCUAAAGUUAUUGUGUUCUCUCUUCUACUAGAUUUUGUAUUUUUCGAUAUGUUCUAAAAUUACAAUUUUUGUAGUAAAAAAUUGUCAUUCCAAUGUGUUUUCUCACAAUUAGUAAAGAUUUUAGUAUUUGACUUUAUAUGGAUGAGCCUCUCUUUUAUUUUUGUGGACUUCAUUUCUGUUUUGGGUUUGAAAAGAUGAUUUGGUUGAGUAUGAGUAAAUAUUAUGGUGUAUUUUUUUCUUAAAUCCAAUUUUUUUGUUUGGCUUUGUUAAUUUAGAGUACAAGGUGCACGCUUUCAAUAGAAAUGGACUUGUUGCCUUGGGAUUUAUGGAUGAACACUAUCCUAUUCGAAGUGCUUUUUCGCUUCUCGACCAGGUAAACGAGCUGCAGCUUUAUUUUUUCUUUGUCUUAAUGAUUUUCUUUAAGCUUCAAUAUCAUCUACUCUUAUUAAUUGCAAUAUUGGUGUUUUGCUUUUAGUUGUAUUGAGAACUAAGUUCAAAUUUACUGGGUUCUUACUGCUUUUUCAUAUGAUCUGUCUUGUUUCAAGAUUAUAUAACUAGUAUCAGUAACAAAAUGAAAAUUUCUUUUAAAUACUAUUAGUUUUUGAUUGAUGUUCACUAGUGACUCACGUAUGUUUAUGCUUGAUACUUGGCUCAUAUGUUGGAUAUGGUUAUUUUUUCUGUGAUGAUGUAAUUCUAUCGAUUCAGGGCAAUGAAAAUGUAAUAUGGUACCACGUUUUGUUUGUAAAUGUGAUUGAUUCUUGUGCUUGUUGUUUUUGUAAAUGAUGCACCAAAUAGCAUUAGUUCCAGAGGUACCAUUUGGAAAACAUAGGCAAAGGGUUUUAGGUUUUAAGGUUCUUCUCUGCCUUUCUGAUUGACGCUACUCGUCUCCAUCUCUGCUUCGAGUUAGGCUCAUUUUGAGGCUUCUCUCGUUUUAAAAAUGGAAAGCCUCCACCCGACCAUGAGGCAUCUGAUUUUCCAUUAUCACCAAUAGCUUUUUUACUAGAUGCGCCAUUAUUGAAAUUAUCAUAUCCAUCAUCCUUGGCUUCGUCCCAACCAGCCCAACCAUCAUUGCUAUGAGAAGUAGUCACCUCUGUAGUACCUUCCUUCCUAUUGAAGAAACUUCUCUGCAUGUAUUAUUCUGAUGUUUUCAUGGUUUAUAAAAUGUUUUCAUGGUUUUUGAACUUAUAAGUACAAGUUAAGAUGCAUGUAUCUGGUUUCAUUUUAAAUACCUUCUUUGGGUAUUAGUUACGUCUUGUGGUGAAUGAAUUAUUUUAUUAACAAAUCCCAUUUACUGUAGUAAGUUCUGAGCAGGGAGAAACAUGAGUGCACUUUUUUAGAAUGGCUUGCAAUUUGCAAAUGAUCAAUAGAUGCUAUAUUUGGUUUUGCCUUAACCGAUGACUAAAUAGUUGUAGGUGGGGACAAAAUAAAUGAAUUCUACAAAACAAAAACGUUUUUAAUUUGAUGACUCCAUUUGUGUAGUAAGGGAAAAAAAGACUAGGCAAGAAGAAUUGGCAAUGACCGUCAUUUAAUCUGCAUAGAGGAUCCAUUUGUGAUAUCUCAUGACCUUGGUCAAAUGGUGGACAAGUUCAGCAUUAAAGUUCUAAGAAAAGAGUUUGAACGAGCGGCUAAUGUAAUGCAACAUGAUCCAAAUCCUUGGAUAACACUCUUUGAACCUUACGUCCUUGGGUAACAAAACCUUGUCCAAGUGUGUUAGAAAAUCAAUGGUUAAAGCUAUUUGGUUGGUUUUUGUAGUCUGUGUGCUUUGCGUCCCCCAUAAUCUUCAAUUUUGACCUUUUUAGUUCACAUCCAUUUUAAAGAAGUUUAAGCUUAUUAUAUGUAAUCAAGAAAAGAAAUUUCCAAACAUUUUAUGGAUGGAUGUUAAACAAGUUGUAAUUAAUUGAUUGAUAGUGUAUACAAAAUUCCUGUAUGAUCCAAACAUAUUCAUAUCAAAUGAGUGUGUUAUAUCGUAUUUGUGUAUUCAAGUGAAACAAACAAAACAGUCUUAUUAUAUACAUCUAAUAAAUCAUUACAAUAUAUGUAAAAACAAUUUAAAAUAUAAAUUUAUUAAUAUAUAUAUUAAACUCAAUUAAAAAAUGAAAAGAUAAUAAAUUUUUAAAUAUAAUUUGUUUAAUUUAAAACAGUUUUUAUGAAAUAUUUUCAGGAAAUCUGCCAAACAAUAGAAAAUAUUUUACACAGAUUCAUCCAAACACCAGAAAAGAAAAUCAUUUCCAGAAAAGAAAAUCAUUUUCCAGAAAUUAUUUUUCGGAAAAUAUUUUACUGGCAAACAAAUGGAGCCUAAUGCUAAGUGAAUCUCUAUAAUAAAAGAAUUUAGAUAAAACAUGAAAUCUAAAUACUGAAAAGAAGCUAAGUAAAAGAAAUAAUCUAACAGUUAAAAAUUGCAUUAAAAUAGAAGAAAGAAAUAGGGAAAGGAAAGAAUGUAUCUUUUUUAAAGGUUUUAAUUCAAUUAAAUUUGAUUUGAUUUAAUUCUUUUAAUUUAAUUUAAUUUUAAUAUACUUCUAGACUUAGACACGUAGCCAACACUCUGAUUUCACUCAGGUGUCUUGAUGAGUAGUUGUCCUAGAUCCCUCAUCCAUCGGUAUCAGUAUGGGAUCUAGCCUACUCGCUCCCCCCUCAAGGGCCUAUACUAACCAUCACCUAUCCACCCAUUCAGUUGGUGUAUCCCAGUAAGUGUCUUUAUGAGACACCUGCUUUUAGGUGUGAACACUCCUAAAGUGAAAACACACUUUUGAUGAUCAUUGGACCCCACUUGAGCGUAACAAUCUCAUAUUAUCAUAACAGAAUGGAGCCACGAUGCACAUCUUGCAUGCCCUACAACUUUUACAUGACAACCUGCCACAUCACACUAAUAGACGAGGACUUCCACUAUAUAUACCCACUCAGAAGAUGAAGAGGGGAUAUUUAGCCUCUUCAGCAAUCUUAGAGCAUCCUUCUUCCCCAGCCUUCUCUUUAAGUUUUAAACUUGUUCUUAUCUAUUUUUUAAUAAUAUUUUAAUUUUUUAAUUUAUAUGAGCCCUGAAUAACUUUUUUUUUUGAAUGCGAUCCAAGAAAAAGGUACUUCUACAUAAAAAAAUUGUAUUCGAAAAAAUGUUUGGAAAAAAAAUGAUAUUGGGCGGCCUUGAAAGCUUUUUCAUUAGCCAAAUCUCUUUCUACAGGGAAUUCAAAAAGGUUUUUUUUUUGUAUGACAAAUAAAUUUUGGAUUAAUUUGAAUUAGUUUAACUUGAAUAAGAUACAAAGGUUUAUAUUGUAGAAUUUUAUAGUUUUUUUAAUUGUUUUCAAUUUUUAUAUAAUAUAUUUUUUAAAAUUUAUGAUUAUAUAUUUUAGAAUUUUUUAUUUUUUUAAAUUUUUACAUUUUUUGAAUUAUUUAUAUUAUAUAUGAUAUUUUUACAUUUUAAAAAAAUAUUUCAUAUACAAUAUUAAAAAAAAGGGUGGUGUGAUAAAUUCUGAUAAAGCCACGUGAACGAUGAACUUGGUCAACAUUCGAUCAAUAGUGGUCAACGAUGGUCAACGUUGAUCAAUGGUAACCAAUAUCAGUUAACGUCUAGUCAAUGUUAUUAUUGUAAAUAACCCUAAAUGUUAGUGGAAAAUUUUGAUUGGUUGAAAGUUGUCACAUGACACAUUUUAAUUGGUGCCAUGUGGUAACCAAUUUUUUUAAUAUUAAUCAUAUAAAUAGUUAUGAAAAUGUGUAAAAUUACUUUAAUUUUUUUGAAUCCCUCUCCUAUAUUAUUAUAUUAUUAAUAGAUGUCAAAAAAUUAAAUAUUAUAUAGAUAUAUAUCAUAUAUUAUUAAAAGCUAUGGUAUUUUGGUAUUUUUAAAUUUUGGUGUGUUUCGAGGUUAAGUAUUUUAUUAUGGUAAUGAUUUGUUCGUUUUGAUUUAUUUAAUUUGAUGGGCAUCGAAAUCACCAAAAAUAAUUCCUACAAAAAUAACUCUAAAUUGUAGUAAAGAGUGGUAUUAGGGUCGAGUCCACAGGGAUUGGAUGUUGUAAUCAACUUCUGUGUUUACUUAUGAACAGAAUGUUCGUUGUGUCAAAAGUCGUGGCAAGAGUCGUGCCUUCGACUCCAAAUGUACCUACAACAAAAAUAAACAAGUAAUCGGAGGGUUUCGAGAAUGUGUAAACAAACAAUUAAAUAAUAUUAUAAAUAAAUUUGGUUCGGGACAUAAAUUCAGAAUUUUGCAAACAGAAAUAAUAAGCCUUAGCCUUAGACUCGGUAAAUUUUGUAUCAAGGAUCGAUCCUCGAAAAUUAAUCUUCCUUUCUAACGAUAAGUUGGUUAUAUCAGUUAAGAACAUCCAAACCACCAAUUCUUCCUCUUGUAGCUGGUCCUGGUACGACUUGCAAACCAACCCUUACCGAUUAUCUAACUGAGAUACAUGAGUUCCCGAUUCAAGAUUCCGGCAGCCUUGCAUUUUGAAGAACCCAACUCAAAUUAACGGCCUCAACCGCGUGGGUGGUUUAAACCCGAUCACUUUUUCCUUGAUUUGUUCUCGGAGAUCCGAAUACAGCAUAGCCGACUCGUUUCUCCAACUUUCAGCAAACAUGACUCCAACCCAACGUGCACUUUAACUUGAAAUCGAGUUUAACUUUAAGGGAUGAUUGGUCUAUCCAGAUACUUAGGAAAAAAAUGAAUACCGAUUGGAAGGGUUUUUAGCACGAAUUUGAAUCUCACGAUUCCCGACCGGAAAGAACACCGGCCUAAGGCUAAGAUGAAAUUUAGUGAAGCAUGAAAUUAUUCAUGCUUUAUAAACUUUGGAAAGUGGUUUGAUGAUUAUGGUAAAGAAAUGAACUGAAAGGACUUGGAAAGAAAUUAGCCCAAUUUUGUAAAAGCAAGAAAAAUGCCAAUUUGAAAGACAAAAGAGAAUAAUUCAAUUCCCAAUUGAAGUAGGAAUGUAGAAUUAAGUGAUGAUUUUCCUAAGAACAUUAAGGCCUAUUUAUAUACAUAGAAUUUGUUAUUUUUGGCCUUAACUAAUUUAACAUAAAAUCAAAAUAAAAUAAAUAAAUAAAAAUAAAAUAAGAUUUUUUCUAUUUUUGACUUUGGCUUUUACAAAGUCAAAAAUUCUUAUGAGUCAUUGGCUUUUCUCCACAUUUUUUAUUCGGCCUCAUUUUAAUUGGUUGUGUUUCAAUUUGGUCCUUUUCUACUCGUUUUUGUCUCUUAGCGUCCCAAUUGCAUCCCUGACAAGAUUAAAACAAAAAAAAAUACUAAUUUAGCAAGGAUCAAUUCAGAAAUAAACUGAAUUAAACACAAAAUAUCAUGCAAAUUAAUAUGUUAUCAGAUCCUUCCUACUUAGCUCAUGCUUGUCCUCAAGCAUAUUGCUCGUUCAAACACUAGAAAUUAUUCUACAAUUUAUUACAAAUCGAGCUUCUUUUCCACAUCCAUAAUCAAAGUAAAGAACAUAAACAAAUACUCAGAAUAUAUAGUUUAAUCAACAAGUGUCAUAAAAUUGAAAUAUGUGAACUAAAUAAUUUCACUAAACUGGGUUUGAAUCUAAAAUUUGCAAGGCAUUAUAAAGAAAACUAGGCAUGGUCAAACCUUUUUACGCGAACUAGGAUGACAACCCAAGCACCCUAUCCCGGUUACUCAGUUCAAACAGUCUGUUUUUUUUAAGGCUCGGUUAACGGAAUGUUUGCAAGUUAUCGACUUGUCACUCGAACCUUUUUACACGAGAUAAAAUGACAACCCAAGCAUCCUAUCUCGGUUACUCAAUUCGGUCACAUUUUCGAAAAUUUCACUCAUAACUUGAGCCUUUAUUUAUUUAUUCAUUUUAUUUAUUAAUUUAUAUACAAGCAAACAUUUUUUCAAACAAUCAAUUUAUAUGAAAAGUCUAGUUACAUAUAUCAACCUUAAAACACAAAUGUCGGCUAAUCUAGAUACUUUGAACACUUUAAUUUAAAAUUUGCCCAAUUGUCCAAAUUGACUACGUAAUGAGAUUAGAGGCUCAAUGUCGGAAUAAACUAUCGAGUAAUUCUAGUAUAAGAUUGAACAUAUGUAAAAGAGAGACAUGCAGCAAAAAUCAUGCAUGCAUACUUAAUUACAAUUUUCAAUCCCCCCUACUUACUCUAUGCUUGUCCUCAAGCAUAUUUUAUAUGCAAUAAAGUUCAGUAACUCAAACAAAAAGCAAAGAGAAAUGUUAAGAAUACUCCCCAUGUGUUUCUAACGAUGUUGUCGGCGUUGGGAAAUAAUUGUCAGCAUUUAGCACGAAGUGCCCACGCCACCAUCAUUAUCCGACUUUUGGAAAAAUUCAUAACCUGUUACGCUCUUGAAAAUAAAAAAUUCAUUGGAUUAAAUAAAAAUUUAUUUAUUUACAACCUAAAUCUUACUAAAACUCAAAAUUAAAUUAAUGAAAAUAAACUUGGGUUGCCUCCCAAAAAGCGCUUUUGUUUAACAUCGUUAACUGGGCGACCUGGAAAUUUAUUUAACCGGCUCUUCGAGGACUAUCUCCUCAACCAUGUGGACUUAAAAAUUCUCGUAGAAAGGCUUUAAUUUUUGUCUGUUGACCUUAAUUUUUUUUUCAGAUUCUUCGCUUUUAACCUUGACUGCACCAUGUGGAAACAUGUAAGUAACAACAAAAGGCCCUAACAAUAAAGUAAUACUUUCUGUCCUACCAUAAAUUGUUUACGGGUUAUCUUUUGGUCAUGGUAUGCUUUGAACUUAUCCUUAUAAAUUUGGGCACUUUCAUACGCUUCUCGUCGAAUUUCCUCAAGUUCCUGAACAUGUAACUUACGAUGCUUACAUGUAGCUUCUAACUCCAUGUUGCAUUGCUUGACCGCCCAAAACGCUUUAUGUUCUAGCUCAACAGGAAGAUGACAUGGUUUCCAAAAAUUAGGCGAUAAGGAGACAUACCUAUGGGUCCUUUAUAAGCUGUACGGUACGCCCAUAUUGCAUCGUUUAGUCACAAACUCUAGUCUUUUCUAUUCGACUUAACGGUCUUCUCCAAAAUCAACUUGAUUUCUCGAUUCGACACUUCUUCUUGACCGUUUGAUUGAGGAUGAUAAGUCGUAGUGACUCAUUGCACUACCCCGUAUUUUUUCAAAAGUGUGUCGAUUACCUUAUUGCAAAAAUGCGUUCCACGAUAGCUGAUCAAUGCUUGCGGUGUGCCAAAUCUAGAAAAAUAUAGCUCUUUAGAAAAUCGACUAUCGUUUUGGCAUCAAUAUGACGAGUGGCUUUUGCUUCCACCCACUUCGACACAUAGUCCACUGCAAGUAAAAUAUAGACGUUACCGUAUGAAGAGACAAAAGGUCCCAUAAAAUCUAUGCCCCAUAUAUCAAAUAUUUCACAAACAUGUACAGGGGUUAGAGGCAUUUCAUUUUUCCGACUCAAGUUUCCUACGCUUUGGCGCGUUUCGCAUGUUUUACAGAACAAAUACACAUCUUGUAAAAUACGUGGCCAAUAUAGUCCACAUUCAAGUCCUUUAUGUGCAAUUUGUUUAGGGCCAAAAUGUUCACCACAUGCAUAAGAAUGACAAAAAGAUAGAAUUGAUUUUACCUCAGUUUCUGCAACACAUCGUCGAAUUACCUGAUCGGAACAGUAUUUCCAAAGGUAGGGGUCAUCCCAAAUAUAGUAUUGCGAUUCACGUUUGAUCUUAUCUUUUUCAGACCGCGAUAAGUUAGAAGAGACUAUACUUGUAGCAAGAUAAUUCACCAUGUCCGCAUACCAGGGGAAAACUGUCUGAGUAGCGAGCAGGCUUUCAUCUGGAAAAUUGUCUUUAAGUGGUGUGAAGUCCUUCGAUGGAGGUCUUCGGCUCAGAUGGUCAGCUACCAAAUUUCCGCGUCCUUUUUUAUCCUUUAUUUCUAGAUCGAACUCUAUGGACAUCUACAAAUCUUUAAAGGAUUAAUCUCUAUAAAGUAUAAAACGAAAUAGAAUACCAUGAUUCCACCAAAUAAAAAACUAAAACCUAUUAUCUUUAUCGGUCAAUAUUUUGAAACAUACAAGUCCUAAUUUAUGUCAAUGAAAUAUUAAUUAACUUUUUUAUUCCUUUAUUAAACAACUAAGUUGCUUAAAUGAAAUAUUAAUUUAUUUCAACUAAUUUUCUUAAUAGAUUUUUUUUGUUAAAAAAAUAGUUUUCUUUAUUUAUUAAUAAACAAAUAUCAUGUUAUUCAAUACAUGAUUCAAUAUAAAAACAUAAUUAUCAAAGUUUUAAAAAAUAUAAAAUUUAUUUAAUAGAAUUUAAUUAAUACAUAUAAUUAAUCUGUGCAUUGCAUCGAAAAUAAUUAAUUUAUACUAUUUUUUAUUAUAAAAUCCUGGGAAAAAAUGGUACAAUUAAAGUACACCAUAUAAAUAAUAAGAGCAACUGACAAAACAUCUCUAAAAUUUCAAGGAGUUCCAUCAACAAGCUAAAUUGAGCAUAAAUUUUAUCUUCUUUUUUUUAGCAUAGCUCAGCUACCUGUUUAGAAUGUAGUAGACCAUGCAUAAAUGUGGGAAAGCAGCAAAUAUGUAUGAAAUUCCAGAAACCGGUAUGGUUUUCCUUUCUGUAUGCUACCGAUAUGCAUAAACGAGAACAAAUAACAAAUAUAUAGAUUAAUAUACCCAACAUAAAGACAAACCUUCACACUUCAUAUCCGCCAUAUACUCGGUCUGAUACCAAAAUUAAAGACCCAACUUUUUAGCAUGUCAACAAAAUACAGUAACCAUCCAAUUCAUGCUCAUGGAAAGGGGGACCCAAUUUAUGGGAGAAUAUUAAAUGAAUUAGAAUAAUCAAGAUGUUAAAUUACAAGGUCAGGCAAGGACCCACGUUCCUACAAAUCCAAGACAGAAAGAAUCAGGAUUUAUAAAGAUAGUAGAUGUAACGAUCCGAAAGUCAGUAGUGUAAAAAGUGUAAUUUUAAGAUCUCGUUUCUAUAAACUGUACUUAUAAAUACUUUUAUUAAAUAUUUAUAAAAUUAUAUUAGGAGUGAAUUGAAUUGUGGUCAUGUGAUUUUGUCGAAUUAAUGCUUAAUUAGGAUAUACAGAUUAAAUCUUAAAAAUGUCAAAAGUUUAAUUUUUAAGGAAUAUUUAAUUAAAAUAUGACUAAGGGAUUAAUAAACAAUUAAACCCCUACCUUAAUGAUAGUGGACGGUAGGGAAUGUUAAUUGAUUAUUAAUGUUAUAAAAUUUUAACUUAAUUAAAGUUUAAUCUUAAACUAAGGUUAAAAUAAAACAAAAUGGAAAUACUUAGGUGACUGGAGAGAAAGAGAAACACCAUAUUCUAUUCUUCUUCAUGCAAACCGAAUGGAAAAUUAGGGAGAAUGAGGAUUCGGUCAUUGAAGUGGAUUAUUGAAGCUUAAAUCGGUUAGUAUAAUUUAGUUUUUUUAAAAAAAUAAUGUUUUUGAAAUUCUGGGAGCUUGAGUUAGCUGACACAUAUAGUAUUUUUCGAUACUGUUAAAGAUUGAGAAUGUUUCUAUUGAUAAAUAGUUGAAGUUUUAGGAGUUAAUUUGAUAGAUUUUAAGUUUAGAGUUGAAAAAGGAUUAAAUUAUAAAGUUAAUUGAUGGUUUUGUUUAAUAAGGACUAAAAUGUAUAAAUUUCAAAAUUCGUGGUAGAAAUGAGAAAUAGGAAGUUCAAUUAGGACUAGAGUGAAAUUGGCAUAAAAGAUUGGGGCUAGAUUUGAAAGUUAUGUUAGCCCCAGUUUUAUGGACUAAAUUGAAUAAAAUGCAAAAGUUACAUAAAUUAGCAAUUGAAUGUGAAACUCGUUAUGUAUUGAUAAUUUUGUAUGCUUGUCUUAAUCCGUAGCUAACGCCGACCCAAAUUCCUCGAAAAUGAAAGGAAAAGGCAAAGUCAUCGACGAAUAGCUCAGAGUACAGUUUGUGUUUCUAUAAUCUGAACUAUCUCAAUUGUUUCACUUUUUCAUUGCAUUGUAUGGUAAGUUUAUAAGGUGAAUUAUAAUUGAUUCAAUUCUUUGAAAUGAUUUGUUAUGAAUUGGUUGUCUGUGUAAGGACUGAAUUGAAUAGAUUUAAAAAUAUUAAAUAUUAUUUGAAAUGUGGAAUUGUAAUACUAUUUCGACGAGUUUGCAGUUAAAUAUGAAAAUUAUUGAUUGGUUGAUUGGGGCUAUGAUAUGGAAAUUGUGAAUCGAUUAUAAAUGAAUGUGAUAAACUUAUUACCCUAUUAAUUGUUCGGGUAGGGUCAGGUAAAAUUGGCAUGCCGUAAGAUAGGAAGAAUUCAGGGAUAUAUGACUACGUGCUGGGGAGUGCUAGGCACCACAUUUUGUCGGUUAUACCGAUCAGUGCUAGGCACAUCUAUUUGUUAGUUUUAUUGGCCAGCGUAGGGUGUAACUAAUUAUUUUCAAAUUUAUCCGACUUACACUGGUGUCAAAUUGGUGUGUUGGUUGAAUCCGUGUAUCCCUCUAAGUCUGAUUUAGAUUAAUAAGGAAAUAAGAAUGGGAAUUAGAAUAAUGAAAUGUGAAAUGAAUAGAGUUAAAAAAUGGUUUUGUUCUUUAAAUUCAUGUGAUGGAUAUUGAGAUAAAAUGAGAUACUUAAUGUUUGAUAUUUCAAAUGGUUAUGAGAUGGAAGUGUUAUGCCUCAUACUAGUGUCUUUUGUUAUAUUAGAUAAUGAAACUAUGAAAUAGUAAAAGUUUACAUGAUAACUUGUAGAUCAUCAAUUACUUUUGACUUAUGUGUUUGAAUGAAUUAUAUUAUGUUUAAUGUUUGGAUUAUAGAAAUUUCAUUGAGUUAUACUUAGCGUACGGUUUUAUUUUUUCUGCGUAGGUUAGGUAAUUUUUUAUUUAAUCAUCAACUUCAGCAUCCAAAGACAAUCCCAGACUCAAGUGUUGGUGAUAUUUUUAUUUUGGUUAUGGCAUGUACUUAAGGUGUCAUUUGGUUAAGCAAUGUUCUAUUUUGGAUUUUUGUUGGCAUUUUGAGAAUCAUAUUUAUUUGUGUGUAGGUGUUGGCAAAGCUCGCAUUUAGUGGUGAUAUUAUUGAGUAGCUUAGGCAUGUAUGUUUAUUUGCUUAAAUAAUGAUCAUGUGAUGUGCCAUGAAAUUUGUAAUAAAGGUGGAUGGUAUGCUUAUGUUGAGAUGAAAUAAAUUGGUAAUAUUAGUGCAUGCUUAUGAGGUUGAAUUUGAAAUUGCUUGAAUGGCUAAAUUGAUGAAAUUUUGUUAGUUGUAUUGAAGUGUCUUGGAAGGCAUAUUGGAAUGGUUUGAAGGUGGUGUUUUGGUUGAAUUUGAAUUGUUGAAUUGAGAUGCUAAUUGUGGAAUGUUAGUUAGGCACUUAGGUUGAUUGUUAUAAGUGAUGUUUGUAGUAUAAUUUUGAUUCUUUUGAAUUGGUUGAGAAUUGGUAUAAUGUAUUUUAUUGCUUGUGGCAUAAGUAAAUUAGGGUUAGAAAGCUUGUUUUGAAAGAUUUCUUCAAGUAUACACGGCCAGAUACACGGCAUGACACACGGUCGUGUGUCAUACAUGGUCAUAUGGCAUGGCCGUGUUGUCUGUAUGUUUAGGGUGAUUUUUGGUACACAUGGCCACAUUAUGUUACAUGACUUUGCGACACAACCGUGUGGUAUCUUUUGAAUAUUUGCACUUUUGACUCACACGGCAUCAAUGAGUUACACGGCUUGUUCACACGGCUGUGUGACUCCAACUCCACACGGCUUGCCCACACAGUCUUAGCCUUUCACGCGGUCGUGUGACCCCUUUUUACAAAAUUUUUCCUACCUUUUUAUUUUUGUUUCAAUUUGAUCCCUGAUUAAUGUUAGGUUAAAUUAAAGCUUUCGUAAGCUUAAUUGAAACUCGAAAUUAAUUGAAUUGCAUUUUAUACUUGAUUAUAUGUGGUGAAAUGAUAUUGUAUUGAGAUUUUGAAGUAUGAAUGGUAUGUAGUUACUUUGUAUUUGUUUGUAGCAUCCUAUUACUCGGGUUCGGCGUCCGGACCAGAUAAGGGCUAUUAGAUUAGGAAUAGAGAAUAGUAAGAUUUGAUGAGAAAAUAUAUAUAUUAGUUAAUUAAUUUCUUAUUAAUAUACUAUCACCUUAAUUAAUAGUUAAUCAAAUGAGUGGUAAAAUUUUACGAUAUUUUGAAGAAAACACUAUCAUUGCAUUAUUUAAUGCGAAAGCUUAUUUGUUUUUUUUUUAUUAAUUUCAAUUUUACUUUAUGAUAUUUUAAUUACUUUAAAAUCAUAAUCAUUAUUAUUUAUUAUAGUAAGACUUUAUAAUUGCUUAGAAAUUAAUUUUAAUAUACUAGAAGUAGAUGAGUUGAAUAUAAGGUAAGUAAAAAAUAUAUACUUAUCAUAUAUCUAUAAUUUUUUAUUAUAAUAUAUAUAAAGUAUUAAAUAAGUUAAUAUAGCUUAAUUAUAUUCAACAACUAAAAUAAAUAAUAUUAUUUCUAUUAUAAAAUAAAUACACAGAAGGUAAAGAAUAAAGAAAAUGAGAGAGCAAAGAGAGAGCGUAUUUUAUUGAUCAAUCGAGAAUGAUUACAAUGCUUCAUCGGAGUUUCUAUUUAUAGGCAUAAGAAGUAUAAAAGUAGUAGAGAUCUAAUUCUAAUAAUUAUUAGAAUUUAAAUUACAUUAAAACCUUAUCUUGAUCAUAAUGGACAUCCACUUAAUAAAACAUUCAUAACACUCCCCCUUGGAUGUCUUUUGAUAGAUAAUGUGCCUCGUUAAAACCUUAUUAGGAAAAACCUUGUAGGAUAAAAACCUAAUGAAGGAAAAAGAGUACACAAUCUAUAAUACGCAUAAUAUGCUACCUCAUUAAAGACCUUACCAGAAAAACCCAAUGGGACAAAACAUCGAUUAAGGGAAAAAAAGUGCAACGCAUAUUUACUCUCCCUCAUGAAAAUAUCACAUAUUUUAUUAUAUUCUAUUUAUUCAAUCUUGAAUACCAGUUUUUCAAAUUACUAUUUGAAUGUAUUUUCUAAGCAUUUAUAUUACCAUUCUUUUAAAAAUCAUGAGUGAAGGAAAUUUAGGGAAAUAUAGUUUGAUCUCUUGAGGAGAUUCAACAAUAAUCAUAACAAACUUUAAUCAUGAUUCUUUUAUAAAUACACAAAUAGGUAUUUUGGAUAAUUUUAUAAUCCUCUUUCAACUACUAUUCACUAAGUCAAAUUUACCACAUAUGUUCAAAUUAUUUCAAUUCAUAUAAAUGAACAAUUUCUCGAGAAUUUCAAUAUGUUUCUAGUAUUCUAAAUCCUUGAAGGAUUUUAAUAUAAACUUUACACUGUAUAGUGAUUCAUAAAAGGUUCUAACAACAACCAUUAGAUGCAAGUUAAAUCUUUUAUGGAUUGCCAGUUUAAUAAUAUAUAUAAAGGUUAUUGCAUCCACCACAAAAGAAUAUUAUAUAUUUUCAUAAUCAAUGUCAGGACUUAGCAAAACAUCAUAUUUUUAUUCCACUUUUGCAAAACUACUUCAUUUGCAACCUCAGUGGCUUUAUAAAUUUAGAUAUUUAGAUUACUGAUCCAAACUACGAAUUUAUUUGUACUUGAGUUGUGUCUUUCUAUUUUGAUCAAUUUAUUCUAUAUCUAUAUUUCUCAAUAGAUUUAUUCAAGAUCCUCAUUUUGUUUUAUUAUUUCAAUAAUAAUAUUUUAUGCAAAAUCAUUGUCGAUCACUUUUAUUAUUCAGUUCCACAUUUUCUCGAAUUGACAUAACUUAUUGAGAUCUCUUAUUUUCAUUAUUUUAAAAUUCAGUUUUAGGUACUUGAAUAUCUUCUGAAGUUUUACUUAUUAGUUUUGUCUUUGGUCUCGUAUGGAGCACCCGUCUCCACUAUAUGACCAUCUAGAAGAAUUUUCAUCUUUGGAACCGAUCAAUCUAUUAUUUGUUUUAACUGAUUGUCCUAUUGGUUAUUUUCAUUAAGUUUGUAAAUACAUCUAACAGUUAACUUGUAAUGAGUUAUUGUAAUGACCCAAAUUUUACUAUUAUCGGAAAGUGAAUUUUCGGGUCUCCGUUUCUGAAAAAUGGAUUUGUAAAUAUUUAUUAAAAAUAUUUACAAAGUAAAAUGAGUGGUUAAUUAGAGUUUAAUUAAGUGAAUUUAAUUAUUAUAUAAGUGUGGUAUUGUGUUUAUUACUGAAAUGAAUUUAUUUGAAAAUGUGGUGAAAUAAUUAUGAAUAAGUGUUCAUUGUAGAAUUUGAUUAUAUGUUAAUGAAAAGUGAAUUGAAUUAUAUUGAAUUGUAUUGAUUUAUUAAAUUAUAUGAUUAAUUGAUAUAUAUACAUAUUGAUUGAAAACUGGAAAAUGAAUUAGAAACCCUAUUAACAAUAUCGGGCUAAGUCGGAUAUAGUUGGCGUGCCAUAGGAUUGGAAGUGUUCAGGGAUAUUCUGACUUUGUGUCGAUGAGACACUAUAAGUGUCACCUUACUGUUACUGUUCCGGAUUUGUUCAGAAGAGGUACUCCCUACCUUAAUGUUACUGUUACUGUUUCGGAUUUAUUCCGAUGAGGUACUCUGUGUACCACUGCUACUACUAUUACUGUUACUGUUACCAUUACGGUGUAUUCCGGCUUCAGUCGAUGAAACACUAUAUGUUAUCCAGGUGUGUAGAUUGGAUCCGUGUAUCCGUCCAGGUCCGAGUCAUGUUAAUAGGGGUAAAUAAAGGUACUGAAUAAUUGACUGCUACUAAAUAUUUGACUGUUGCUGAAUUAUUGAUUAUUACUGAUGACUAACUAUUACUGAAAUGGAUAAGUACAAAAUACUAAUGGAAAUGUGAUAGUUGAAUGUUAUUUAAUGUUACUGAAUAGUGAACUGAAGAAUGACUGAGACAUAUGAAUUAAGUAACUCAGAAUUAGAUAUGAAUGGGAAAAAUAUUGUUCAAGUGAUUUAUGAAUUUAUUUUGGAAAGCUAAUCGAAUUAAUAGAUGAUAAGAAUUGAAUGAGUUAUAAAGAAUUUACCCAUGAAAUGAAUAAUUGAAUACUUAUGAUCAAUAUAUGUUUUUAAGUGUAUGUUAUAUUAUUAAGUGUUUGGAUUAUAGAAAUACCACUGAGUUCAUACUCAGCGUACGGUUUGUUUCCGUGUACAGGUUAGGUUAAGGUCAGACAGUUGAAUCAGCAUUUUAGGCCAAUCUCGAACUCAAUAAGGUAAAGCAUGUUAAUUGUUGAUAAUGGCAUGUACCUAGGAUGUCUUAAGUGUGUUAUUUUGCAUUGUGAUUGUAAUAGUGAAAUAAGUAAAUUGAUAAUUGAUAAUGAUACAUGAUACAUGAUAAGUGUUUUAAGUCAAGUAUUGGAUAAUAUAUAAAACGUAUUUGUAUUGGUUGUGGUUUGAAAUUUGCAGGGUUGGCUAGUAAAUUGUGAAAGGCUCAUUAUUAAGUCCACACGGCCUGGCACACGGGCAUGUGACCAGACUGUGUGAGACACACGGCUUGCACACGGGCAUGUUGUUAGGCCUUGUGUCCCCUACACCUAAAAUGUUACAAUUCAGUAUGUCCAGGUUUUACCACACAGGCAGAGACACGGGCAUGUGUCUCAGCCUUGUGGAUGACACGGUCUUAAACACGGGCGUGUGAUACAUCUGUGUGAAAACUGCACUAGAUUCGAAAAAUAAAUCCACAGGGGCUAAGUACACGGGCAUGUGACUUGGCCAUGUGAAACCAAUUUAUUCAUGGGUAACAAGUCAGAGAGCUCCACGAGUAGAGGACACGAGCGUGUCCAGGCCGUGUGAGCCACACGGUGUGCCCACACGGGUGUGUUAUGGAACACACGGGCGUGUUAUCUAGACCACACGGGCGUAUGGUACUGUUCAUUAAAGGAAAUUUUAAAAUUUUUCGAAAGAUUUUAUAAGCUCCCAAUUGAGUCCCGAUUUAUUUUCUAAUUUGGGUCUCGAGGGCCCAUUACAGAGACAGUAGGGCAAAUUCUUGAAUUGCUUAAUAAUUAUUUCUGUAUUAUUCAUGUUUGAACUGUACUGACCCGUAAUACUUCGUAAUCCUGUACCGACGACGGUAUAGGGUUAGGGGGAUUAACAGUUAUCCUUAUUGAACUUCUGUUUCAAAUUACUCACCUCCUAACUCAUUACAAGUUAUUAUUUCUCUCCCCCUAAUGUCAAGAAAACUAUCGAAUCAAAAUUGUAAUCACAAAUCAUGUCAUAAUUGAAUCUCGAAUACAUUCAAAACAUCUAAUAAUAUAAAGAAACUUGUAAUUAAUAUAUAUUCUCAACUUUCUUUGAGGAUUCACUCAUCUUUGUGCGUUGUGGUGGAGCACUUGGAACAUAUACGCACAUACAAAAAUUUAAAGAUGAGAAAUAUUUAGCUAUUGAUCAAAAAUCAAUUGUAAUGGGGAGUAUUUAUAACUUAUUAGCUUGAUGCGUAUAACACAUAAAUCAACAUAAUAUCAUGUUGAAAUAGGAAGUUUAGUUCUCAUAAGUAAUGGUUUAGACAUUAAUCAAAGGCGUUCAAUCAACAAUUUUUCUAAACCAUUAUGUGUAUAAAUAACAAUUUUUUACAAAAUUUUUUCAAACUCAAUCAAUAAAAGACAGAUAUAAACUCAUUAGUAUUGGCAAGAUAAAUUAUCUUAAUUACAUGAUCUGAAAUUAAUUAUUUAAAAAAAGCAAUCUUGCAAACGACAGGUUGCAAAUUAAUCAUACAUGUGAUUAUUUUGUAGAUGCAUCUACCAAAAUCAUAUAAUAUCAAAACCAUCCACAUGGUGGAUGAAUGGCUCAUUUUCGUUUCAUAAAUGCAAGACAUUAAAUCUCAACUUUAACUAGUGAGUUUCUAACAAUUAAUUUUCAUUGAGAACAAACAACAUAUGAUAAUUCUUUUAAAUUAAAGAAUCUUCUGGUUCUUUAGUAAAUGUCCAUAUGAAUUCUUAAUUAUUUUUUGCAUCAUAUAUGAGCUAGGAUGGUCUAACUAGUCACGCCAAGUAGUAAAUGCAUUUGUAUUAGUAAACUUCUGGUUUACUUUAACAUGUGUUUUAAUUAUACUAAAUUGUAACAAAUUAAUAAUUUUAUUAUCAUUCAUUUUACUUUGUAUCCACAUAUAAGUGCUAUUGUGACAUUUAUUAAUGAAAAUGUCCAAAUCAAUGUGAAUAUUAUAAUGUCACUAAGUCAACAAAAUAAAUAUAAUUUCCAAACAAUUAUAUGCAAUAUUCGUUUCAAGGAAUAUGCCAAAAUCUUCAAAUAUCUAAAAAAAAAAAUUUAACAACUUCAGGUGCAUCCAACCAUAAUGAGCUUUAGAUAGAAUUAUCAUAUUUUAUUGCUUAUAAAUAGAUCUUUCACAGUCAAAUAUUUUGUUUUCAAUCCCUUAAUAGGGAUGAUGACAGAAGAAGAUCACAAAGAUUAUAAAAUAAAUAUAAAUUAAUAACCCAAUUCUCUCUUUUUCAUCCUUUCAAAAUAGAUAUUUAUAGCAAUAGUGAUUCAUAUGAAAUAUAAUAUUUUCCUCAUUCACAAUUUCAAUAUAAGAUCCAUUAUAAAUAUCUUUUAAAAUCAAUGGAUUAACUAUCACAAGAUAUUAAUAUAUUAGCUCUUUUAGAGCUUUCGACUAAUUCUAUACUAUCAAAUAUUGGAAUAAUAUUUGUUUGUUUUAGCACCAAAUAAGAUAAAUACUUUCUAUCUAUAAUGAUAGAAUUUAUUACUACAUUCUCAUAUCCUUCCUUAAAAGAAUAUUAACAAAAACAAAAUAUUUAGGUGUACACCACAUAUAUGGCCAAUAAUUUUUCAUAUCACAUUGAUAACAUAAGUUAUCUUUAUCAUUUGAAGAGUUAUCUUAAGAACUCUCAUUGUUUUCUUAUUUAUUACUAUGUUCCCAUUUUUAGUGGUUCAUGAUUAUAUCUUUUAUUUUCUUUAUGUUUGCGUUCACUUCGAAGAAUGCAACUAGUAGGACAAACUUUUAAACGUCUCCAUUAAUUCUUUAUUUCAUAAUAACCAUCGUAAACAUGCGUGAAUUUCAAAUUAAAAUCAAUCUAUUCAUGUUGUCAUGAUUAUUCUCCAAUUAUAAUAAACAUGAUAUAAUAAAUAAAUCAUAGUAAAAUAUACCUGAAGAUCUAAUAGUUAAAAGCUCUAAUGAUUAUCCAUAAUGCGCAGGCCUUAAAUGAAGACUGAAAUUGCAAUAGCUCUAGAAGGCAAUCGACAACAACUUGAACAAUAAAUUUGGAGUGACCUUAUUAUAAAAUAAAAAAGAAUCGCAUUGAUAACGUGUUAUAAAAUAAAUAUACAAAAAGUAAAUAACAAAGAGAAUGGGGAGUAAAGAGAGUGCAUAUUUUAUUAAUCAAUCGGAAAUGAUUACAGUAUCUUAUUAGAGUCUCUGUUUAUAAGCAUAAAAAAUAUAAAAGAAGUAGUGAUUAAAUUCUAAUAACGAUUAGAAUUUAAACCUAACAAUUUCACAUUAAUGACCACAAUUAAAAUAUAAAAUGUAAAACGUGAGAAACUAGUUUAAUCUAAAAUCAUAUAUUUGAUUUUUAUGAGGUGAAAUUAAAUGAGAUUUAAUUGGUUUCACAGUAGUAUACAUUUGUCGUUUUUUUAGCAAUUCUUUAAAAGGCAACGCCAUAAUAAGUUGGAAGAAAAUCUAAAUUAGUGAUUCAGUACAGGUCCCAACUUUUCUUGAAGCUGGUCGACUUUUUUAUCUUUUUUUUUCCCAUUAUCAAACUCACCAAGAUAGUCAAGGGUUGAUGCAGAGCUUGAGAACAAGCAAUUAAGAUGGAUCUCUUGAGUUGGUUAAUGUACCUUGUUUCCUACGUGAUCUUGUUUCAAGCCCUCCAUGCAAUCACAAGAAAAUUGGGAAGAAGGGCCAAGCUUCCGCCUGGUCCACCAACAAUUCCCAUCUUCGGGAACCUCUUUCAGCUUGGUGAUAAUCCCCGUAAGUCUCUUGCCAAACUUGCCUCGGUUCAUGGGGACAUCAUGACUUUGAAACUUGGGCAAAUAACUACUGUAGUUUUCUCGUCUGCAACGAUGGCCAAAGAAAUCCUCCAAAAGCAUGAUGCCGUAUCUUGUAACCGAACCGUUCCUGAUGCCAUUCGUGCCCUUCGACACCACGAAGUCGGAUUGCCUUGGAUGCCUGCUUCAACCACAUGGAGAA
Molecule: long non-coding RNA, 74061 nt
Filed under: Gossypium barbadense (sea-island cotton)
Lineage: Eukaryota; Viridiplantae; Streptophyta; Magnoliopsida; Malvales; Malvaceae
Description: long non-coding RNA (GBAR_LNC007662)
Rfam family: Plant small nucleolar RNA R71 (bases 46149-46255)
Source: RNAcentral